RNAcentral lists this long non-coding RNA (65153 nucleotides) under Ananas comosus (pineapple). RNAcentral's name for it is "long non-coding RNA (ACOM_LNC000508)". The record is from RNAcentral. Lineage: Eukaryota; Viridiplantae; Streptophyta; Magnoliopsida; Poales; Bromeliaceae.
AAAGAGAAAAGGUAAAAAAAUUUUAUCUCUUUCUCCCGUUUCAAAAAAAAAAAAAAAAAAAAAAAAAAAAAAAAAAAAAAAAAGAGAAAAGAGAAUUAAAAGGCUUUCUCUCUCUCUCUCUCUCUCUCUCUCUCCUGUCGAAUCCUUCGCCGAACCCUCGCGAUCGUGCCCAAAUUCCCCCUCCGAUCCCUCCACGAAGGCCCCGACACCAUCGACGAGCUCCUGGAUCGCCACCUCGUGAAGAAGAAGAAGACGACAACGAACCACGGCGGCGGCGGCGGGGACGACGACGACGACGACGACGAGGAGCUCGCGCUGCGACGACGGCCGCGGCUCACGAGCACGCGGCGCGAGGCACUGGCGCUCCACCGCGACGCCCUGCGCGCGACGCGCUUCUUCGCGUGGCCCGACGCGCGCGGCGUGCCGUGGCGCGAUGUGCUCCGUGCCAACGUGCGCCGCGAGUUCGAGGAGGCACGCUUCGAGCGGGACCCCGAGGUCAUCGCCAAGCUCCUCAUUGGUGGCCGCGGCGUCGUCCAGAAGGCCCUCGGCAGGCUCGUCGACGCUAGCAAGAAGAUGGUCGACGCCGAAGCCCGGAAUCGUAGCGGAAGUGGGACGUGAAAUCGAAACCCCGACUCGAUAUGCUCUAAGGCCGCCCGCGUCGCUCCGAGACGCCUUGACCCGCGGCGCUCCGAGGCCGCUCCUCGCAAACCCAUGCUCCAACCUGAGGCGCAGCUCCCGGACCCGCUCCGAGACGCCUUGACCCGCGCCGCUCCGAGACCGCCCGUGUCACUCCUCGCCAACCCAUACCACAUGCGUUGCUUCGAGACACCCCGACCCGAGGCGCCGCUUCUCGACAAUCUCCGCGCGCAUGGCCGCGGACUUCGCCUCAAACUCCUCCGCGAUGGCAUCGACUCCGACAUCACCGCAAGCCGCCGUCGCCGCCGCUCCUUGACCUCUCUGCGCGCAUGGCCGCGGACUNGCCAUGUAAUUGAGCAAUAAAUUAUAAAUUUUCUUUUGUCCAAUUCCAGUUUAUCUUCAGCAUUUCAGAGGUCUCUUAAUCGAAGGUGCCCUAAUAUUCUAUAGGGGUAAUUAACAAUAGACGCUUGCGUUUAUUGGAAGCCAUGGAUCCGCAAUACCUGAUAACCAUACAUAUACAUACUUUAAUCUACAUCAUGAAUACUACCCCACGGUAAAAAUCAAAGAUAAAAAUUCACCGUGCGAGGUGCGUCAUUCGUGGUGGCAGACAACUAUCUUCUCUCUCUUCUUCGUCUUCCUUUAAGGGCUUUGCCAGCCCACUGAUUCGACAGCAACGAUGGGAUAGCUAUAUUUUUUCUUAAUUUUUUGAAUAUAUUGAGAGAGAUGGUGGAGAUUGCUUGAGUCUUUCUCUUCUCUUCUCUUCUGACCUUCUAUAGGUUUUCUAUAAAUAGACUAGCCAUUUCAGGACAGUACGAAUUGUUUUUGUACACAAAUAUAAAGGUGGGAUAAAGGUCUUUUUGGAGCAUAAAAUAUAAAAAUUGGCAUUUUAUUACUACAUAGCUGUUAAUCUCCUGCACACCGUAACUUUUCUACAGUCUAAUGUUUAAUCUCUUGAACACCAUCAAUUUUCUACAGUCUUUUGUUACUUAGGUGCCUAUAAAAUUCUGUCUUUCUAAGGGUAUUUUCCUUAUUUUUUCUGAUUUUCGUUUUUUUGAUUUUUGAAUAUCAAUCUUUUUUUUUCCCGGAUUUUGGGCGUCCUAUUCAAAGGCAUCCCUUUCCUACAUGUUUAGUUUGAUUCCUACUAGUUUAUUUUAUUUUUAUAAUUUUUUCUGAUCUUUCGUUUUUUUAAUUACUGGUGGUUUUUUAAAGUUUUUUUUAGGCUCUGUUUAUAUGUAAGUGAGAAAAAAAAUUGCUUUGCCGUUGCCAUCAUUGCCUAGCAGUUUUUUUAGAUUGCUGGUGGUUUUUUUAAAUAUUUUUUAAGGCCCUGUUGAUGUGCAAGUGAGAAAAAAAAAAAGGCUCUGCCAUUGUUGAGCAGGUUUGGAAGGCCCGCUUGCCUCCACGAAUGCACUUGGCUCCUUCUUUGGUGCUUCAUUUGUCUUUUUCGCAUGGACAAUUAUACAUGCUGGCUUUAACUGUUGCGUACUUAUUUUCAUAAUCUGUACUAGAUAACUUUGUAUGUUUACAUUAUUUAUUUAUUUGUUAUCUGCAUGUUCUUGACAUUUUUAAAAAAAUUUCGGCAAUGGUGAUGUUACCUGGCAAUAAGGAGAUUGAGCCCUGCACAGUCAAUUUGAUUCCUUGAUUCCUUGGUCGGCUUACACCCGUUUUAAUAGGCUUUCAUCGGCUUAGAUCAACAUUGUUUAGCAUGUGUAUGUAUAUUAUUUUAAAAGCUUUAGCCUUCAGGUUUUAGUAUUGUUUUGCAUCCACAUAUAUGUAUGUUCAUAUGCAUAUUGGACUAUUCCACCUUUCUUCCGCCAAGCCCUUUUCAAUUUUUGUCUUCUUGCCUUUUCAAACGAUUGUCUGAGAUGCUAAAUUCAUAAUUUUUUUACUUUGCAUAUAUACGGAAAAAAUGUCUAAUUAUUAUUCUCAUUGAUUUGUAGAUUUGAUGAAGCUUCUCAAGAAGAUCAAGUCAAGAAAUGAAGAAUUUCAGUUUACGUUUCAGUCCAUCUAUAUAAUUCUAUUUAUAAUUAGACGCUUUGUUAUCCACUAAUCUAACUAUUUUAAACAUGUCUCCAUGUAGUUAAAUAUAACUAAUAACAGUUCUACUUGCAUUUUCUUUGUUCUAUUAUUUGUUUUGUAAGCACUUUGUUAUUCGCUUACCAAAUUAUUAUAUCAGUGCUACUUAGAUUUACGUUUUGAUUUUUGUUUUAAUAAAAAAGAAAUUAGAUACACUAACCAUUAUUUGGUUAUCCGCCGCGAAGCGCGGGUCCUUUACUAGUAUAUAUAUAUAGUACGUCUCCAGUACUUUCGAAAGUACGGAGACCUCCGGGCUUGUAAGUUAUUUUCGAUGAUAGGACAUCCGAUUCGACGAUCGGCUCCGCUAAGUAUAAUCUACCCUAUUGGAACUAUCUAAAAACCAAAUUUUAUAAUUUUUUGACAUCAUUUACCAAGCGAUCAAAAGGUCUCAAAAAUGACUAUUUUAACGGCCGAUGUGGCAUGUUUUUAAGUUCAACGGUGUAGAAGUAUCCAAAUUAUACAAAAAUUUAAUAGAAAAUUCUACUUAACAUCAAUAGUAAGAUAAAUACCUCUGAUUUGAAAUUUGAGUCGUUUAUCACUAUUUUUUAUGAUAUUUUUAUUUUCGGCCGUUCAUUUUGAGGCUACUCGUUCACUAGACAAACGAAAUCAAAAAAUUAUGAAAUUUGGUUUCUAGAUAGUUCCAAUAGCGUAGAUCAAGUUUAACAGAACCGAUCGCCAAAUCGGAUGUCCCAUCAUCGAAAACAACUUACAAGCACGGAGGCCUCCGUACUUUCAAAAGCAUAGGAGCCUAGCUCUCUCUCUCUCUAUAUAUAUAUAUAUGUAGUGUUCCUGAAGUUUGGGUAUGAUUGGCUACAGUAUUAGUGACUGGUCGACACAUCUGGAGAGUGUCGGACUGAGUCGGAGUCGUUUCUGCACGAAAUGGAUGCAGACUCGGCGCACUCAAAUAAGCAAAACUGGAGUUUUGCCAGAUUCGGGCGCCCAGAAUAGGGUUUGGGUCGCCCAGAAGUUGAGGGUAGAACUGAACAGAACUGGAAGCCAAUUUGGAUCCAUGUUUCAGGCGCCCGGUUGUGGGUCCGAAAAUUCACCUCGAGAGUAUUGUUUGCACUAACGCGUGGCUGGUGGUUGGUGAGGUCCGCCGGAGCCAGAUAUAGGCGCAACACACCGCGGGUAGAGGAACCGAAAGGGAGCUUUUGUAUAGCCUAGAGGUUUCGGAUGCCUAGAAGCAUGUUUUGGGCGCCCGAAUGUGAGGAUUUCUGUAGGGAUACCAGAUUUGCAGCUGUUGUUCCUGGGGCUUAACUGACCAUUCUACCACCCUAUAAAUAGAUUGAACUCGACCCCUGUGAGUUCUUUUCCUCCUUUCUUCACAGAGAAGCCACUUUUUGCAUCUUAGUCCCUCCAAUUACUCGAAAUUACACCAUUUCCACCUUGAGGAUUUUAGUUCUAGCAGUUUUCUAGCAGCGACUGUCGGCGUUUCGGCUCGUGUGCGACGUAGGAAGCUCCAUUUUCCACGAAACUUGGUUUGUUAGAUUCAGUACCUCAAGAGGAAUCCGUGGAGUCCAAAUUGACAGAAAUUGAUUAAGGUUAGCUUGGUCUAUUCUGUGUUUUACUGUGUUGCUGGUGUUUUGGACUAAAUCUGUGAAUUUGUGGAUUUUCAUGGUGCAAGCUUUGGAGGCAGUGGGUUUUUGGACCUGAGAUUGAUACUCCAGUAUACUCCACUGGAUUUGGGACCUACCUUCAUCGAAUUGAGCCUUAGAAGGUAAUUUUGACAUUGGAGUUGAGUGAAAUGGAAGCUUAAGUGCUGAAUUUUUGGAGUAUUGAGGGAUUUUGAUAUUUUUAUGUAGAGAGGAUUGGUUGCUGGUUCUUUGUGUUUACGGUUGGACUUAGCAGGAAUUCUAGCAACUUCGUGACCCCUUGCUACCGUGGAUUUAUCGUUUGAGGUGGGUUAAUUAUCGAUUUUGCUCCUAAGUGCACGCAUUGUCGACAUGUAUAUUUUCAGCUUUUGUAUACUAUGUGAUUAGCUUGAAUUUAUCGAUUAGCAUGUUAAUGAAAAUCUGAAUUUGAAGCAUGCUGAAAUGAGUUAGUUAAAUAAUACAUGUUGGACUUGGACUUGACUUAGGAGAUAACUGGCGCUUCUACACUGUUAUAUGUUAAAACUACCAGAUUUAGCUCUAGGAGCCGUAGUUUGAUUGUAUCCCCGCGAUUUGUGGGCGGUGGAUAUUCUGGAUAGUGUAGAUUAUGUUUACGCUCGGGCCGAGAUGCCGAGCUUAUUUUUACAGCAGUGUUUAGACUAUUCCGGACUGUCGGGUGCCAUUAAGGAUGACGGUGGACUAGGGAUGCAAAUGGAUCCGGGUUGGUGGAGUUCCGCCCCGAUCCGCCCCGAAUGGGGUGGUAAGUGGGAACAAAAAAUAUAAAAAAAUAUAACCCGCCCCGAAUCCACCUCGAUCCGCCAAGUAAAUGGAGCGGGAGGUGGGAGACUCUUUUCUUCCUUCAAUCCACCCCGAUCCAUCAAAAAUCCGGCACCCGCCCCGAUCCGCCCCGAAUGGAGCGGUAAGUGGGAGCCAAAAAUAAAAUGAAAAGUAACCCGCCCCGAAUCCGCCCCGCCCCGAUAAGAAAUGGAGCGGGAGGUGGGGGAACUCUCCCGCCCCCGGAUCAGCCCCGUUUGCAUCCCUACGGUGGACCCAGAUUGCUGUUGUUGCAUCAGAUUGUGCCGAGAGUACGUGAGUUGGUUGUUAGACCAGUUGGACCCUAUUUAUUUGGAUCUUAACCUGUGAGAGCCUGAUUGAGCGCGACAGAGAUACGCUUGCAUACUCGGUUGGAUAGCGCCCAUGAGUGCCACUCCGGAAUCGGGCUUUGUGCGUUUGCGUUGGUGUCGUUGUGUCCUGAUUGGACUUGCUCUCCACUGACUGCUUAGUGUGGAGGUAGCGUUGGCUUUGGCAGGCGGGACGGAUGUGUUCACAGUCUCUAGUGAGAUUGGGUCAGGAUUUACUUUUCUACAGAUUGUUAGUGUUAGAGCAUGAUAGAAUAGUUGUAUUUAGCUGUAGAUUGGUUCCAGCUUUUCUUACUAUCCCUGCUUACUUCUAUAGACUUGAUAGGUGAACCGAUGAGUUUGAGGGCGGUACCCACUGAGGACCUAUGUUAGUAAAUUCGCGAAUUAUUCACGAAUUUUUGAAAAAACGAAUUAAACGACCGAAUUCGUAUUUUUCCAAAAAAUUCGGAAAAAAAACGUGAUUAUUUUGAUAAAAAAACGUAUUCGCGUAUUAUACGCGGGCCGAAUAAUUCGGAGCGAAAAAAACACGGCCCGCUUGCGCUCCCACGCCGCGCGCUCUCCCGCGAGGCCCGCGCGCCCCUGCGACGCCCGUGAGGCCUGCGAGGUCCGCGCGUGAGGCCAGCGCACGCCUCGAGCGCCUCGAGCGCCUCAAGCGCCCGUACCUUGGUCCUUAUUAAUUAACUUAAUUUAAUUAAGUUACAGAAAAAAAAACUCUUAAUUUAAUUACAGAAAAAAAAACUUUUUUCAAAUUUUUUACUUAAUUAACUUAAUUUUGUAUCUUUUUAUUCUUAUAUUUUUAAGAAAUAUGAGUAUUUAUGCUAAUAACAUAAAUCUUGAGAGAAAAAAAAUUUUAAUUUAAUAGCCAAAUUUUUAAUCCCGAAUUUUUAAUUGAUGAACAUAUAAUAUCCGUAUAAAUCACGUAUCCGAAUAAUUGACGAAUCCAUUUUUAGCCGUAUUUUUUAACGAAUUUAAAAUUUAAAAGACGAAUUUUAUCCGAAUUAUACCCGUAUCGAAUUUUUGCCGAAUCCGAAUUAACUAACUAUGCUGAGGACUACUUCUUUUGCAGUAGUUCUCACGCCCAGUUGUUACCCCUGUUUUUGCAGAGCCGUCGUCUUCGGCUGCUGCUAUUGCUGAUUCUGAGCGUGGCAAGGGCGUCGCGAGUUAGAACCCUUCCAGACGAGCCAAAGCUAGAAGAAUACCAGCUACAGGUAGUUGUAGUUUUUGGUCCUUUACAUAUAGAUGUUGUACCUCGUCUGAGCGAGUAUUUUGUACCCAGAUGCUAUGUAUGCAUAGAACCACUGUUUUAUAUAUGGUUUAUUUUUCCUACCAGCUCUAUAUUACUGUUUGUAGUGUUGUAUGAUUACAGGUACUGUUACUGUUUUGCUUCUUAUACAGAAAAAAUUUCUAUAUAUACGGCGGGUCUGUUAACGUGCCCAGAGUAUUUGGAGUACCUAGAAAAUAAAUUUUAUUAUUUUUCGAUAUCAUUUGCCUAGUGAACGAAUGGGCUCAAAAUCAACAAAUUUCAAUGGUCGUAGUGAGCCGUCUGCAAGUUUAACGGUGUAGAAAUAUCCAAAUCAGGUGAAAUUUUGAUAGAAAAUUCUUUAUACUAUAUAAAACAAGAUCAAUAUCUUUGAUUUAAAAUUUUAAUGUCAUAUUAUCAUAUUUUGUAAGAUUUUUAUUUUCAGCCGUUGAUUUUAAGCCCCUUCGUUCACUAGGCAAAUGAUAUCGUAAAAUCAUAAAAUUUAUUGUUCUUAAAGGAUACUUCAAAUACCUAGAUCAGUGUUAAACGGAGCAGCGAAAUCGACACUUCGGAAAAGUACUGAACAUCAAGAACGAGUGAAGCACGGAAAGCUCCGAUGUUCCGAUAGCCAAAGUAGCUACUCUAUAUAUAUAAUAAUAUUUAAUAUAUAUAAUACAUAAAUAUAUAUAAUAAAUAAUAUAUAUAUAUAUAAUAUAAUUAUAGAAGACUAAGAGCUACAAUAAAUUCAUAUCAUAUAAGUACCAAGAAAAUCCACGGUACAUAUAGUGUUGGUUUUCGAUCUUAUAGAAGAAGCGAUUAGAAACUCUAAAAGAAUCCGACACCGUUAAAAACUGAAUCAUAGGGUAAUUUAAAAGUUUCUAGAUAAAAUGUUAUAUUUUUCGCAAUAGUUUAAUGAUACUAUUGAUCAAAAACUAUUUCAAAUUGUCAUCUUUUAAAUGACAUAUUAUAAUACGACGAUUAUGGAGUUUAUAAACGGUGUAGAAAAUAAAUCUAAUAAUAAUAAAAUUUAUAGGUUUUGAUUGUUAUAUAAUAUUUAAUACUCAUAUAGAUUAGGUUAACAUAUCUUGAUCUUGAGUAUAAAAGAUUCUAUACUUCAAUUUUAAUUAAGAUUAAUUUUCAUUAUCUUCGUCCAUCUCUUGAUAUUUUUUUUAUUAUAGUAGAGACUUGUAUUUCGAUAAAACUAAAUUUAUAAUUGCUAAAUUUAUUUAUACCCUUAGAUCAUAAUAUUAACGGUGAUGAUUCGUUUAUUUUGAAGCCUAAGAUUUUAUAUAAAAACAAAUAAUUAGUACUGGAGCUCGAUAAUUAAUAUAGAUAGAUAUGUAUGUAACCUCAUCAUAAUUAAUAUAUAAUAAUAUAUUAUUGUUUAAAUUAUAUAUUAUAAAAUUUUAAAUCGAUUAUAAUAUACUUUUCUCUCUUACUUAUGUUUCUUCUUCUCGUCUCAAAAUAAUAAUAUAUAGGAGAGAGAGAGAGAGAGGAGAGAGGAGAGAGCUAGGACUCCUAUGCUUUCGAAGUACGGAGGACCUCGUACUUAUAAUUGUUUUCGAUUGAGAGCACAUUCUGAUUCAGCGAUUGGUUCUUUGACAUUGUCUAUGCUAAUUGGAACUAAUCUAGUAAACCAUUAUCAUAAUUUUUUGACUUCGUUUCCUAUGUGAACGAGUAGUCUCAAAUGACGGCUAUGAAAAUAAAUCUUAUAAAAAAAUAUAAAAGGACUCAAAUUUCAAAUAGGAAGUAUUUUUCUUAUUGCUCUUUGAUGUUAGUAGAAUUUUCUAUUAAAGUUUCAUGUAAUUUGAGAACUUCUACACGUUGAACUUCAAAAAUGUGCGCAUCGGCCUUGUUAAAUAGUUUCAUUUUGAGAUCUUUAUCACUUGAUAAAAUGAUAUCGAAAAAAUUAUAGAAAUUUGAGUUUCUAGGAUAGUUCUAAUAGCAUGAUUAUACCUAACGGGAGCCGAUCGUCAAAUGCGAAUGUCUUCAUCGAAAACAAAUUACAAGCACGGAAGCCUUCGUCUUUCGAAGCACGGAUUAAUAUAAAAUUAGUAUUUUUGAGAUCACUUUGAUCGCUUUGAUAAAUGAUUUAUCGAAAUUAUGAAAUUCGGUUUCUUUAGAUAGUGUCUAAAGCAUAAGAUUAUAACCUAACGGAGCCGAUUCGUCAUCGAAUGUCUAUCAUCGAAAACAAUAUUACAAGCACGGAUAAGCCUUCCGUAACUUUCGAAGACGGGAGAUUAUAUUAAAUAAUAUAUAUAUAAUAUAAUAUAUAUUAUUAUAUAUAAUAAUAUAUAUAUAUUAUAUAUAUAUAUAUAUAUAUAUAUAUAUAUAUAUAAUAUAUAUUAUAUGUGGUACACUAUUAAUAGCCACCAAGUUGUUGGUGUAUUAGUUUUUUAGCCUUGGAUUGAGAAAUAUGCGGUCUAGGUUGAUGUGGGCUGCUAAGGGUUGAGUGGUUCGUGGGUGGUUGAAUAGUAUAUCUAAGAGUGUAAAAAUAAUCAAAGGGCGGGUUAUUUAAUGGCAGAAAUUUGAUAGCACCAAGUGUUAGGUCGUACGAUAGCAUAGCAGGGACUUCUCUCUCUCUCUCUCUCUCUCUAUAUAUAUAUAUAUAUAUAUAUAUAUGGCUAGGGCUACUAUACUCUUAUGAAUAUAGAGCCCUUCGUACUCAUAAGUUGUUUUCGAUGAUGGGGCUUCCUAAUUGACGAUCCAUUCCGUUAAAUAUGAUCUAGAGUAUUUGAAACUUCUAGAAAAUAAAUUUCGUAAUUUUUCAAAAUCAUAAUAAAGUCCAUCAAGCGGGUAUAAAAUGAACGGUUAAAAUCGAACGAUGUCCAAAAAAUAAAUGUUCGGAUGCUUCAAUUUAAGAUCGGAGUUAUUGAUAAUUAUCUAUGUAGUGAAUAGAAUUUUCUAUCAAAAAUUCAACUGAUUUCGAUUCUUUUACACCGUUAAACUAGCAAAUAUCUCAUAAAUUGUUAAUUUUGUGACCAUUUGAUCGUAAGGUAAAUGAUGUCGAAAAAUUAUAAAAUUUGAUUUCUAGACGUUUUAAAUGCUCUAGAUAACGUUUAAUGGAGUGGAUCGCCGAUUCGGAAGCUCCAUCAUCGAAAACGACUUAUGAGUACGAAGGCGAUCGUACUCAUAAGAGUAUCGUAGCCGGACUCAUAUAUAUAUAUAUAUAUAGAACUAGACUGGAAUAAUAUCAAUAGUACCAAGUUAUUAGUGCUAUUGAUUUUUUAGCCCUUGGAUUGAGAAAUGGGUGGUUAGUAUGAUGUGGGUCUCCUAGGGUUGAGUGAGUGGUUGGUUGAAUAGUAUAAUCUAACGGGUAAAAAUAAUCAUAGGGUUAAAUCUAACGGUGGAAAACUCGAUAGUCGUUUUCGAUGAUGGAGCUUCCGAAUCGGCAAUUCACUCCGUUAAACUGUCACGCCCCGAGGCCGAUUUUAAAAGCCUUUUUAAAAUUCAUUACCAUUUUGAAAACAGAGUUGCGGAAGACAUGCAAUUUUUUUUUUUUUUUCAACUUGGCCCACGUGACGUACAGACCCGCCACAAAUACAAAGUUUCUCUGUCCACUCGGACAAAGUCUCAUUUGAAUUUGCACGGCGUACCAACGAUACAACAGGAUCACAACCACAACCUACAUUUACCAAUCAACAACCAAUUCAUGAUAUGCAUUUUCAUACAGCUAACAAUCCUUAGAGAUGAUGCAUGCCUCUAAGCACUCCUUAGGCGCUGGAUGAUGCAAUGCACAGUAUAACAAUCAUCCUAUUUAAAAGUGCUCGCCACACGGAAGCUUUAUUUUUAAAAUCUAAUUCAUUCAUACAUGAAAACCAUUUGAAACCUUUUGAAAACUGUUUCCACACGGAAACUCUGUUUUAAAAACCGACUACCUCGAGUGGUAGAAAACCACGAAGCGUAAAUCCAUAAAUACAAAUCCGAGAGCCAUAAAGUAUACAAACAUCCCAAAACUGAAGAUCCAUAAUCACAUGCAUAGUAGGAAAACCAACUCAUCCAAACAUUCAAACAAUCAUAAAGAUUAGCUAACUGAACCAUUAUUUAAAUGUCUACUAAAAGCAGGAAAGAAAUACAACCAGGGUGGCGAUCGCUAUACCAGACUAGCUAGAUCGUCCUCUCGUCGAGCCCAAAAUCCAACUCCUUGUCUAUGUCACCUAGGGGGAAAUGGGGGGUGAGAAACCGCAACCAUGGUUUUCUCAGUGGAUACGACAGAGCCACGAAGGCAAGCAGUAAUUACCGGAAACCAAAGGAGAUAGAUAAACAAGUAUAUAUAUGCUGAUAUGAAACAGAAGUACAGAUAUGAACAUGAUAUGAUAUAAGAGCGAUUACAGUAGUAAUAGAAAUAAGAUACUAACUGAGCAAGAAUAAAACUACUACUGUAAUAAAAACUCAACUGAUCAGAUGCCUCAAAGGUGAAUAGUCCAAAACCAAACCCAAUCUGAUACUGCUAUAUUGGUCCGCAGACCUCAAGCGCUGCCUGUCACUAACUGCAUCGACCUGAUCCAUCCGCCCCACAGGACGACCUAUCCGGAUAAGUACACCUCCGAUCGGUGGCCAAACCGAUCCGGUGUCAUGAAUACCCCCAAGUGCUGUGACUAAGUCAUGCUGGUAUGCUCAAACAAAAACCGGCUGAAGCCGGUGCCUAGGCCGAAGCCAACAACAAGGGCGCACAACGCCGAACUAUGAUAGAUGCUAGGGCGUACAAUGUCGAAUCACGAUCAACCAUAUCGAAACACACGACAAAGGAGUCGAUGUGUUGCCUCGACCCAAGGUCCACAGAGAUACAAAGUAUAAAUGCAAGCCUGCUCUACAUGUCUAUCCACACCUAUCCAAAUGCAAUCAAUGAGAUAGGAUAACCGAACGAUAAACAAACAACGACAUGUAGAGACUAUAAUGCUAGAAUAGAAAAACAGAAUGAGGUGAAACGCUCUCACCGACUACCAGCUUGAAGCACCCACCUGUCACUGUCGCGUCGGAACACUGGGUACGCACAAGUCGACCGAACUAUGAAGAUCCAACGGGUCAGUAACCAACCCACUCACCUGAAGUACACUAUCUCACAAACCCCACACAGAACCCCGUAUCGGUUUCCCAAAACCGAUCAUCGUAACUCACCGGAAGUCCCGAAAAUCACACCGGGACGCCGUCAGGACCCACUAAGUGUCCCGAAACUCACCGACUCAUGUCACGCGUCAUCCGCUGCCAGAAAACACUCCGAUUUGGAUGUCUUGGCAGCAAACACGAGGUAACACCACUAUACAAUUAUCGCCGGAUAAUUGUACGAAUCUGGGUUCUCGAAAGUGUCUAUUUCGACACUGGAACCCACCGUCGCUCACCCAUCAUCACCGAACCCACAAAAUGAUGAUGGUGACCAGCCAACAAGGCUCAGGGAUAAUUUACAGGAUAACCAAGCCACGUCGGACGAAAUCUGAACCGAAACCGCAUUUUUUCGGCGAAUUUUGCCGAAAAACGCGCCGGAAUCGACUUUUCGAUUUCCGCAAAAGCUAACGGAUCAUGGAAAAUCAGUCCAAAGGUCAAACACACUCUUACACACUGCCCACAGUAGCCAAAAGGUGUACAAUUGCACAAUAGCCCCUGUAUUUACAUAAAAUCCCAAUAUUUUAUGUAAAUUGGGCGAUAACAUGGCUCGUUCACGCAAACUGAGGACUUAUAAAUUUCGCCGAGACAUGUACUGAUAAGUCUCGACGUGCCGGAGGCCGUGCUCACGGUCUAGAGCGCAAUAGGUCACUGUGGGAAGCGCGGGAGCAACCCAAAGUUCUGCGAACAGCGCGCAGUCGGGGAAGAUCGCGCCAAACAGGGCUAACCAGACACUGUUGAUCCAAAGUGAGGUGAGCAUUGUGAUCAGCACUGGCCAACGAUCACCGUGCUCACCUCCGGAGGCAUCAAGACAACCUCGGAUCGCCGGAUAAGCAUGCGCAAACCCAAAACAGCAGCCAAACAGGCUCGACAGGGUCGACACCGCCAAAACAGCGGAACGGAGUCUCCCCGACAGAAUCUAAGGUGAGCACGAUGAUCAGAAAUUUGCCACGAUCAUCGUGCUCCCUUCCGUAGAGAUCAGGGAGGCUCGGGAAGCUCAGAACAGUAACGUAUCCCAAAUAAGCCCUAUUUCGGGCUUGGCCGGAGCAAGGUUGCUCCGGCCGGCUUCCGGCAGCACGGUGGCAUGCGCGGCGGCCAGGGACGGGUGCGGGUGAGGAAAGGAGUGUGGUGCUCACCUCGGUUUGCGGCGGAGGGUGGCGGCGGUAACGGCGGAGCAAGCCGAGCCCGCACUAGUUAGAACUCGGAUUCCAGCGAAGCUGCGGCCACGGCGUCGGCCGGGGCUCCUCGGGGACGACGGUGGCAAGUCCCCAACGGUCGGAGGAGGAGGAGGGAGGUGGCGGGCGACAGCGGCGGUGGCCCGCGGCUCGGGUGUGGCCGCCCGAGCUUGGCUCGGUCCGCAGGUUGGGGCGGCGGCGCCCAAGGCACGCGGCGGCGGCGACGACCCGCAGAGGCGGUGGCGACCGGCCGGGGAGGGUCGCCAGGCUCCGGGGANGCUCAGCCUAGCUGGCAGCAAGCAGCAAUGGCGGCGAUGGCGGCGCUCGGCGACGGUUCGGGGCGGCGGGGCCGGCGGCCAGUGGUUGGGGAAGGGUGGAGGCGGCCGAGGGGGGGGGUUUGAGUGCUCCUCCUUAGCUCGGGUCCAUGAUGGUGGAGAGGAAAGUGGAAACAAGAGAGGGAGAGGAAGGAAAAGAGGCUGAGGUGGCUGCGGCCGGCCGGAGCUCGGCUGGCGGCGGCCAGGAAGCGCACGGCUAGGGCAGGGAGGAGGGAUGAGGGUGGUAGGGUGUGGCUAGGGUUAACUAGGGAUGAUCUAGGGCUCGGAUCCCAAUUCCUGCUCAUAACCUAUUCCGAGUUUUAAUACAUUGAUUAAUUAUACACUCCUCUCAUCUAAGGGGUGAGUUUGUAUACUAGUAUUAUCAAACCUUUUUUUAAUAUUAAAAUUGUAAAAAGAGUGUUUAAACUCUUAGAAGGAGAGAUAUAGAUUUACACUAACUUUUUAGAUGUACAAAUAACAUUUCUUUCCACCAAAUAAUAUGAAACAAGAUUAAAUGGCUACACUACAACAAAAACGGUCAAUAGCGACACUUUUAAAUGUAGGUACAUGUCAAAAAAGUGCUGCUAGCUAAAAUUACCGACACUUUUAAAAAGUGUUGCUAUAUGUGGGGUCGCUAGGUAUAUAGUGACAGUUAAAGAGUGUCGCUAUAACCUAAAAGAGUGCUGCUAAUUUAUCAACACUUAUUUAAGCAUUUAGCAACCGCCGAAACUCUACCUCGUUGGCUGCGGUGGCGGAGGAGAACAACAGAAAAGGCUCUUCGCCUAGAAUUUCAGUGGAUUGAGUGAAGAGAGAAGAAAAGAUGGUAAUUGAUUUUUCUUUUUUUUUUGUCUUUUCUGUUUGUAAUCGGGCCAAAUGAACUAGGUGUGGUGGGUUGAGUAGAGUAAUCUUUUAUUUUUGGUUGGAUUGGGCUUUAUAUUUAAGCAUUAGUAGAUGUUUUUUUAAGUUUUAGUAUAAAUGGGACACUUACUCAAAAGUGUCCUAAACAUGUGUCCCUAUAACCUAAUUCUGUUGUAGUGCUAGCGAAAUUUUCUUUCAUAUUUUAUAUUCAACAUUCCUCACGUAUAAGCUCUCCCAUAAAUUUGAAUUAGGAAUGGUAUUUUUAUUUUUUAUAUUCCACACUCCUUGAUAGGAUUUGAAAUCAGAUUUUUUUUUUUUCGCUCUUAUAUUAUGUGGAAUAAUAUUUAUCUUCAAAAGCUUAAGUUGCCAGAGAAUAAUAUUUUUACAUUUUAUAUUUGGCACUAUCAGUUGAUUCAGUAAAAUGUCAAACUAUUAGCAACAAUUCUUAUCCAAAGGAAGGGAAAAAAAAAAAGAAGACAAUUCGAACACCUCUUCCCAAAAUGUAACAUUUACGCAUGCAGUAUUAGCUUGGCACUGUAUCUCAUUGAACAAAUCAGUUUUCUUUCCUCAAAAACCCAAAAAAAAAACAAAGAAAAACAAAAAAGAAAUUCUUUCUACGUGGUAAGUGUCUAAACCUACUAAGCUCUAUUGAGAUCCUAUUUAGAACCAAAAAAAAAAAAACACUAAAAAACGGUUAAUCGAAUCUUUCCGAUGUGUUCAAAUGCUUAAGCUCCAUUAUUAGUAUGAUCAUUGCAGUGCAUUUUCUUUGAGCUUGGCCAUAAGUAGAUGUGCAACUGAUUUGUAACCUUGCUCGCGAGCUGUAAUUAGUUUGGUGACAAAUUAAGCAACAAUUUAGGAUCAAAUAACACAAAAUGAAAUAUCUGAUAAAAUUGCUUGUGUAGGAAUAGUAGUGACAUGAAUAUAUUACCUUGAUAAAUGGCAAUCCCAGUAGGAGCCAUCUUUCUCUUCUUCAAGCAAAGAGAGCUAUGUACAGCAAAAAAAGAAAAAAAAAAGAAUCAGUAAUAAUGCAAUCAUAAGCCUCUACUUAGGGGUGUAAUGUGGAGCGUGCCGCGCCGGCACGGCCCACAUUAAGCCAGGCCGAAACGGGCCGGAGGCCAGCCCGGCAUGACCUGGCCCCAAAGUCGGGCAAUGCCCUGCCGGGCUGUAGUUCUUGGACCCCGGCCCAACACGGACCCCGCCCGGACGGUACGGCCGUGCCGGGCUUCGAGCAAGCCCUUUUAAUUAUUUAAUUUUAUUUAAAAAUAUAUAAAAGUUUUAAAAAAUAAAAAUAUAAAAAUAUUAUUUUUUAAAAAUAAUAUAUGAGAAUUUUUUUUUUCAAAUUUUAAAACAUAUUUAUAAAAAAUAAUAAAAUUUUAAAAUUAUUUAAAAAUUUUAAAUAUUUUUUGGACCAAAAUACCCUCCUCCCAACAAUCAAAAAUUUAACUGUUGGGGAGAGUAUUUUGGUCCAAAGGGGACCAAAAGCCCAACUCCCAAGGUGCAGGCCCGGCUGGCUGACUACCAACUCCCAAAGCAUUCGGAGUUAGGAGGCUUGGGAGAGGGGCUGUGUGGCUCGGUAGGCACGGCCAUACGGGGCACGCCGUGCCGAGCCGAGGCCUCCCCUCAGGCCCGGCAUGGCCUAGGCCAGUGUCGUGCCGGGCCAAUGGGCCACAGGGAGGCGGCCCAGCACGACCCGAUUUAUCAGGUCAGGCCGACCAAAUACGAGUGCUACAGUACUCAUGCCGUGCUUUGGUUCGGCCCAAUAUCAUGCCGGGCCGCCCGGCCCGUUUUACAACCCUACCUGUCGCGGGGGCCACCCAGCCCGUUUUACACCCCUACCUCUACCGCAAUAAUUACAAAUUAGAAUAUGCUAAAAAAAGAAAACAAAUUAUGGAUUCCUCUCAUGUGACUGGGGAGGAAGUUGAUGAUCAACUCUCCUCACAAAGAUUACUUUUUAAUUUUUAGUGCAUUAUACUCUAAAAGUGAUUCAACCAACGCGGUGUCUACACUAUUGAUGGUUGAAAAAAUAAAGUUGCAGGUGCUUAGCUGCCUAUGGAUGCCAAGUUGGGUUAGGACACCUGUAACGAUUCAACCUACUAGUAUUAAUUAUAACUCAUCGGACACAAACUAUUGGUCCAAAAUACUUAAGCUCCUUUAUUAGUACGAGUACAUUGGAUCAUCACAUGGGAUAUUAAAGCCGGUUUACCAGCUGAAAGUGUGAGAUGAAUGAAUCUCCUAUCGCAUGGUAAUAUCUUGGACUAAUGAAUGACUAGAAAAUGGUACCAGAAGAAGACACAAGAGUCUAAACAAAGGAAGUCUGUGAUAAUCCAAUACCCCUAUAUCGUGUGAAAAAAAAAAAGACUUGUGCUUAUUUACCACCUACUAUUAUUUAUUUUUUUUAAAUUUAUUUGAAAUUAUCAAAAUAUCUUUAUAAAAUCCAAAUCUAUUAGUAAACCUAGGGAAAAUAGGGAUAUCUGAAGAAAUUUUUGAAAAAUCAACAAGAAUAUUUUGGUCUUUUAGGAAUAAAUAAGAUAUUUCUGAAGUUUUAAAAACAUACAAGAUAUUAUCUCAAAAAAAAAAAGAAUAUAAGGAAUUAGGUAGGGCUAGCAAAUGAGCGAGCACUCGUGUUCGGCUCACGUUCAGCUCAGUAUUUGGCUCGAUGUUAAGAAUUUGAAGCGACUCGUUUAGGGCUCGAGCUCGCUCGACUCAUAGUUAGGCUCGCUCGAGCUCGGUUUGAAUUAAUUUCAAGCCGAGCUUGAGUCUAAAUUUAAGCUCAAUAUUAAUUUCAAACCAAACUUCAGCUGAGAUAAGCUCGUGUGAGCUCGGCUCGUUUCCACCCCCCAUAAUUAGGGAUCCUGAUAAUAAUAACUGAAUUUAAGUAUUUUUGGGUAGUGGUUUGAACUCAACGAAUUACUAACGUUAGUUUUGAAGGUACAGUUUCCCCCAAAGGGUUUUGUAGCUAAGUUGAUGAUGAUGAUGAUGUUUACCUGUUACAUAUCCAAAAUUUAUUUAAUCCUUUCUCUUCAAUGCAGUGAGGACACGUCCAAUCCUUCUUCAUCCGAACUUCUUCCAUGUCUAAAAAUUUAAUUAGGAUCUCAAUAUCAGCAUCUAUCAAAUAAAAGGGCAAAAAAAAAAAAAAAAAGCUCAAUAAUACCAGCAUAAUGUUUUCAAACAAAUUAAACAAAUAUGAACAUAUAUAAAGAGAGUAAGUUAACAUGCAAACUGAGGCACAAAACAAGCUAACAUAUUUUGAUCCUUUUUUUCAUUAUUAUUGUUUCGUCGCAUCAGUAAACAUGCCUUCCCCAUAUCUGACUUUGAGACAAGCGCGGCACAAUACGCCGUUCGCAGAAUGGCAGGAGGAGCAUUCUGUUUUCCCUGCCAGAAACAUAUUUCAAGAUUGGUUUCUUGUGUAAGUGAAUCUGAAAUGUAAAUGGACAUCUGAAUAAUAACUAUUGACAAGAAGUGAUGAAGGUGAUCGAUGAUCACCUAUGCAUGGCUGAUCUGAAUCUCUGUCGCCGCAGCGCCUGCAAUCUUCUUCUCCACACAACUUCUUCUGCCUGAAUUUGUAAGUUUGUAAUGAAAAAAAAAAAAAAAAUCUUCAAAACUAGUUCUUUUUCAGAUAUAAAAAUGUAAAAUGUACAAAUCAAUAUAAUUUUCUAAUCUGAAAAAAAAAAAAACUAACCUACAAAAAUGGCAGCAAAUACCCAGAACAGGAUCAUAAACACUUCCUCUUCCUUUGCUGUCGCACCGCCGCGAGAGAAGCUGCCUCCUUUCUACCUCAGAAACAACUACUUCUCUUCCUCCUGAAGAACCCAAAAGAAAAAAAAAAACAUAAAGUAGAAUAGCUCUUGCGACUAAAAUGGUGGAUCGGUAAAGUGACAAAACAACAACCUUGUGGGGUUAACUCAACUGGGUCCGGAGAUUUUCCCUUCAAACGGUCCGAUCGCCGAAGGGGAGGCGCGGAAUUCGCCUCUACAUCCGACGGUUUCUUCACCCGGUCGGAUCGUCGGAGCGGAGUGGCUUCGAUUUUCCUCGCUUUUUUCGUCCUUUCGGGCGUAUUUGUAUAAUCUUUUCUCGACCGAGAAGGAGAAGUUAUGAGAUUAAGCUCUCCGGCGCAGCGACGGAUGCCGAGGGACUGCAUCCGAGCCUUCAUUUUCAUUUAUUUAAAUUUUUUAUAGGCAUUAUGGUGAAAGUAGCCGUUAGAAAAGAAAGUUUUUGAAAUUUUUACAGGUUUUGGGAGGGAAAAAGAAAAAAAAAAGCAAAAAAAAAAGAGAAAAGAGAACCUUGUUGUCGGAGAUUCGGGCGUUGCGGAGGCUCUCGUAGUCGCAUUUUGCAUCUAAUUUUCCCAUGGAUUCGUUUGAUCUUUCUCAGCUUGAGGUUUUUUGUGGGUUUCUGUUUCUGGUUUGAGAAGACAAGAGAAGAGUAGAGGAGAGGGGGAAGGGUGAAUUGUCACCAACGGCUAUAUUUUUUUUUUGAAUUUGUAUCAUCAAUGGAAAUUUAUAUGGAUGCCCCUUUAGUAUAGACUAUUUUAAAAUAGGCACCUGAACUUUAUUAUUAUUAUUAUUAUUAUUUAAAAGGUAAAUGUAUAUAGAAUUUAGUUAAAACUAUAAACCAUUUUGAUUUAAUUAUCUAACCUUUCCAAAUUUUAAUUUUAAUUUCAGUUUGUUUGGGUUAAUUUUACUUUAUUUGAUUAAACCAUUGGAAGUCUUUUGAAUUCAAAAAUUAAGGUCAGUUUGAAUUCAUGAGUUAAACAUACCAUUUGAACUCAAUAUUUGAGCUCAAAAUAUAAUUUGAAUUUGAUUUUGGGAAAACUUCAAAAACCCCCUCUGUGGUUCCACACUUUUUCAUUUUAGUACCCUGUGGUUUAAAGUGUAUCAAGUUAGUACCCUGUGGUUUCUCACUUUAUCACUUUAGUACCCUGUGGUUUAAAGUGUAUCAAGUUAGUACCCUGUGGUUUUGCACUUUAUCACUUUAGUACCCUGUGGUUUCACACUUUAUCACUUUAGUACCCUAUAGUUUAAAAAACCACAGGGUACUAAAGUGAUAAAAUGCAAAACCAUAGGGUACUAACUUGAUACACUUUAAACCACAGGGUACUAAAGUGAUAAAGUGAGAAACCACAAUGUACUAACUUGAUACAUUUUAAACCACAGGGUACUAGAGUGAAAAAAAUUGAGACCACAAGGGGGGUUUUUGAAGUUUUCCCUUUGAUUUUCUAUUUAAAUUUAUCCUGGUUUAAUCAAAUCACCGAAAAGUCCUUUGACAUUUAUAAUUUGUUCCCAAAACUUUGAUUUUGAAUAUAAAUUUAAUUAAAAUUUUUUUAUUAGACUUAAGAUUUGAACUAAAAAAUUGAGCCCAAAUAAAAUUCAAAUUUUAAACCAAUAACACAUAUAACAAAUUAAAGUUUAAUUUUUUGUAAUUCCAAAAUAAAAUUUUCGCAAUUUUCACAAGUUUGAUUUAUAUAUUUAAUUUUGUUUUCACAACUUUUAGUUACAAGAGCAAUUCUGGGAACUGCCUAUACCGUUAUCUAAAUUAUAGAAAAUUUAAAUUUUGUAUUUAAUAGCUAAACCAAAUACAAAAUUUAUAUUUUUGAUAAUCUAUUAAGGCAUGUUUGGUUCAUAAUUGGAAUGGAAAUGAAAAAUGAAAUAGGGUUGCAUUAUCCAACAAUGUUUGAUUCAUGAUUGGAAUAAAAAUAAAAAAUAUAAUUGAAACUGUAUUGGAAUGAAAAAUAAAAUGAUGAACCAUUUAAAAAUAUUUGGUUCAUGAUGGGGAUGAACAUUUAGGAUUUAAAAGGAAAAAAAAUCAUCAAGAGGAAGAGGAGUGAUGAAGGAAGAGGAAAGGGAGGGUUUUGACUGAUUUUACUUUGGGGCGUUCAUCUAGCUAACAGGUUUACAUUGAGAUUCAAAACCAGAUUGAGUAAUAAAUAGAUUAGGUUGUUCCCGUUCCAGAGUGGAAAGAGAAUGAAAAUUCGAUUUUUAUAAAACAAACAAUAACUAUCAGAAUCAAUAAAUCACAUUCCGAUUCCAUAAUCCAAACUAGGUUAACCAAACAAGUCUUUAAGAUCAGAUUAUUGCACGAAAUAAACACCGCGGUAUUACAUAUGUGGUAUCCCUGGUGUACAGCAGUAGAGGCUUGUCGACAGCUCUGGAGAGUGUCGGGACAAGUCCGAGUCGUGUUGGCGCGAAAUAGACGCAAAACAAACUCAGCGGGGACGCGAGAGCAGGACUUAGCUGUGGAAAUCUGCAAAUUGCAGAUUUUCUGCUUGUUGUACCGGUACAACCAUCAGGGCGUACCGGUACACUUUCUGUACCGGUACAACCAGCAGGGGCGUACCGGUACACUUCGCCAGACUUUUGCGCAGCUGCUCUCGGAUUGCCAUUUGUACCAGUACAACUACCCGUGUACCGGUACACCAGGGUAGGUGAGGGGCAAUUUGGUCUUUGCCAUGCCUCGUACGUGUCACCCCUCUCCCCCAGCUAUAUACAGGUGUGAAGAGCUGAGAGAGAUGGUUUUCCCUGCUUCCUUCCCUCUCUCUCUCUAGCUUGACCGAUUGUGGAGGAGCUCGAGUGGUGUUGGAGUUUCGUCGACGUCACGCCGCGGUGCCGUUCGAGCGUGCGUUCGUCGUCGUAGCAGCGUGAGGAGGUCGAGCGAGGGUGCGAUUCCGCCGUUCUCGACGUCACACCGGAUUUGGAGUUAGCGUUUGAGGUGGGUUAAUCGUCGGCUAUUUCCUAAGUAUAUAGAUUGUCGACAUGUGUUGUUAUGUUGAUUUAUUGAUAAAAAUUGCUCGAUUCAUGAAUUUUGGCAUGUUUAACUGUAGAAUCUGAAUUGGAGCUUAGUACUGUGACUAGGUAUUUACACAUGUUGGACUUAGAUUUAACUUAGGAGAAAACCUGCGAUCUGAACCUGUCACAUGCUUAAACUAUCUGAUUUAGCUCUAGGAGCCGUUGUUAUUCUGUAUCACCGCAGUAUCAGCGUGGUGGAUACCCCAGGUAGUUUAGAUAGCUAUUACACUCGUGCUGGGAUGCUGAGUGUAUUUUUACAGUAGUGUUCAGACUGUUCCGGACUGUUGAAUACCGUCGGGGUUGAUGGUGGACUCAUAUCGCCGUUUUGGGCGUCAGAUUGUGCUGAAGGCACGUGACCUAUUGGUUGUUAGAUCAGUUGGACCCUGUUACUUGACUUUGGCUUGUGAGAGCCUGAUUGAGCUCGACAGAGAUACGCUUGUAUACUCGGUUGGGUAGCUCCCACGAGUGCCACUCCGGAGACGGGCGCUGUGCUUUCGUGUUAGUGUCGUUCGUGCAGGUUGGACUUGCUCUCCACGGACUGUUUAGAGUGGAGGUAGCUAUAUAGUCGCAACCGGGCGGAACAGGUGUGUUCACAGUCCCAGGGGCGGGCAGGCUUACAGUCCCAGUUCGAUUGGGUCAGGAUUGAUACUUCUUACAGUUGGUUAGUGUAGAGCGUGAUAGUGUAGUGUCUUGUAGCUGUACAGUUUCUUCCAGCAUUUCAUACUAUCCUUACUCCCUUCUGUAGACUUAGUGGGUAGACCGACGAUGUUUAGGGCGGUACCCACUGAGGACUACUUAUUUUUAUAGUAGUUCUCACGCCCAGUUGUUACCCUGUUUUUGCAGAGCCUACUGUUCCGGUUGCUACUUCCUCGGAGACUGAUUAUGGCAAGGACGUUGCCAGUUAGAGCCUUUCCCAGUUACUACUGUUCGUGCGGUUACCAGCGGCAGGUAGUGCUAGUUUUUAAGUUUCUUAUACAUACUGGUUGUAUCUCGCUGGGCGAGCUUUUGUAUACCUGAACAUAUGUAUGCAUAUGGAACUUGUUCUGGUUUUUACCAGUUUUCUUCGAAAAGUUCUAUACUACCGUUUGUAGUAUUGUAUGUUUUACAGGUACAGCUAUCGCUUCGUAUACAGAAAAAUUCUUUUGUAUACGGCGGAUUUGUCGGCGUGCCCGGGGAACGUGCAAUCCGGGGCGUGACAACAUAUCCUACUAAUUUGUUUCUAAAAAUGUUCUUAAAGUGCGAGCCAAAUGUACCCUAUCAAUAAAUCCUAUUCUGAUUUCAUUGUCCGAAAUAAGUGAUCCAAGCCUUAUAUAUCUAAUUCUUUUGCAAACAUAGUUUUUGAACAUAAUACAAUUGCUAAUAGCUCAUAUGCCUGCUCUGCACUCUUUUUCUUCCUUCAUUCUUUUUAACCAAAUUACUGCAAAUAUUUUAAUUAAUUUUUCACAAAUAUAUUAUUGUUAUAAAAUAUUUUGCUUUUAAUAAAUUCCUAUAAACUUUUUUUUUCACAUAUAUCAUGAUUAAGUUACUUAAUUAAAUAUUCCUAGAAAAUUUCUUUUCAUGUAUGUAUCCAUAAAGAAUUUUAAAUUAUAUUGCAAUUAGGUUAAUUAUUUAAUUAAUACGAGUUGAACUGGAAUACUAUCAGUAACAAAUGGGCUCUGUUUCCACCCAUUUAUUUUUGAUGAUAGAGUUUCUAAGUCGACAAUCGGUACCAUUGAAAAUGAUAUACCACUUGAAGUAUUUAGAAACUAAAUUUUAAAUCUUUUUGACAUCAAUCAAAGAGUUUCAAAUUUAUAAUUUUAAUGGUUGAUAUAAGCCUUUUUUUUUUGUUUAAUGGCAUAAAGAUAUCCAAAUUAAUUGAAUUUUAAUUAGAAAAUUUUUUAAACAAUUUAGAACAAGAUCUAUACACAUGAUCUUGAUUACAAAAUUCCUAUCAUCACUUUUUAAAAUAUAUUCAUUUUCAAUCAUUCAUUUUUAUGUCCACUUGAUGAACAAGAGAACAAUAUCGAAAAAAUAUAAAAUUUAGUUUCUAGAUGCUUCAAGUGGUAAAGAUCAUAUUUAACGGUACCGAUCGUCGAUUUAGAAACUUUAUCAUCGAAAACAAAUGAGUGGCAAUGGAACCUGUUUGAUAGCAUUUUAGCUCAACUCUAAUUAAUACCUUUAUAUGUUAGUUAUUUACUUGUAUGUAUAUCUUUAUUAAUUACUUAAUUACUAAUAAGAAUUGGGCGGAAUAGCAUUAAUAGUAUUUGGGCUUUUUUCCUAUCGAGUUUUUAACACUGGGAUGAAAAAUUAUAAGGUUGGGAUGAUAGUGGUCUUCUAGGGUUUAGUCUAGGAUUGAGUGGAUGGUUAGUUGAAUAGUAUGAUUUAAAGGGUGAAAUUGAUUAAAGUAUAAAUUUAACAGCUAAAAAAUCAAAAGGAAAAGAGCCCAAAUACUAUUAAUAGUAUUCCAGCUCAACUCUUACUAAUAAACUAUCAUAAAAAUUUUUAUAUACCUAUUUAAAUUAAUUAAAUUAAAAAUUGGCUCAAUAAAAUUCUAAAAAAGCAUAAUUUUUUUUUUUUUUUUUUUUUUUUUUGAGAGUAGGUAGCAAGCUACCAGCUUCAUAAUCAUUGAAGAUAAGAAUUAUGCUACAGGGGUGGGCCGGCUAGGGCCUCGAAGAAGAAAAACACAACAAAAAAAAAAAAAAAUCAAGAUAGGCCUUUCCAAAAAACAAUCAGCUGCUUGAGCCUUCCCACCAUUAAAACUGGGUCUAUCUUUAUGCCACGAAAGAUGAGAUCGUUCCUGGCCUUCCAGAUGGUCCACCAGCAUGCAGCCAAUUCAGACAGCCCAUUCCACUUAUUUUGUCCGUCGUACCUACCCUUCCACCUAUCACAGAUGUCAAGUACAUCGUCACCCAACUCCCCCGCCUGGAUGUCCUCAAUUCUCGUAACCAUGAUAAACUUAGUAAAGACACAUUGGGUGAAUAGGUGGUCCACUGACUCGUCAAAAAUCCUGCACAAUACACAAGCCGUGUCCCUGACCAUCCAUGCUUACUGAGGUUGCCCGCUGUGAGCAUCCUUUUCUUAAGCACAAGCCAGUAGAACACUUUGAUCUUGAGUGGUGCACGGAUCCUCCAGAUCCAGUUAGCACGUCCAUCCCUCGUACCCCCAUCAUUCAUCGUUCGAUAGGUUGAUUUGACUGAGAAUAAUCCGUUGCUGGCCCAUCUCCAGCCUUUCCUGUCUUCACUGAGUGCUAACUGGAAUCCGUUGACACUCUCUUUGAGUUCCGAAAUGGAGGGACUUAUGCCCGGCGGUAGAGCGUCCUCGGCGCCCAAGAUCCUACUCCAGUUCCAACCAUCCCUUCCGAAGCAAGCCCUAACCAAACUUAGAUUACCAUCCAGCUGCCCGUACACGUCCGGGAACGCCGUUUGAAGUGUGGUAUCCCCACACCAUCUGUUCCGCCAAAAGUCAACUGAUCUUUCAUUACCCAGGAUAUAGUAGGCUCCCCACUUGAAAAUAUCGUUAGUGGAUAACACCCCUUUCCACCACUGUGAGAGAGGCCUGAACCCUACACCCUCCCGCAGAGGCCUUCUUCUACGGUAAUAUAAAGCUCGGAUAAUCUUAGUCCACUGCAGAUGGGGUGCAGUGAAGAAUCUCCACCACCAUUUAACUAAUAGCGCCCUGUUCAUGAUAGCUAUAUCUAGGACGCCUAAACCGCCUGCAGAUUUGCUCAAACAGACGUUUUUCCACGCAACUAGACACCCCUUGCCGGGGAUGUUACUUUGGCCACUCCCGAAGAAAUCUCGGCGUAAAGCUUCGAUACGCUUGAUCACCCAAAUGGGUGCUUUAAACACCGAAAGAAAGUACAACGGUAUGUUGGUAAGCACCACAUUGAUGAGUGUAAGUCUACCCCCUCUUGAAAGAAGUUUGGUCUGCCAGCCGCCAAUUUUGAUCUGCAGUUUCUGAAUAAACGCCUCCCUCAUGGGUGGUUUUGGCGAUAGGGGAAGCCCUAGGUAGUUACUAGGGAAUGAACCAACUUUGCAGUCAAGCGUCUGCACAAGUCUUGCCGCUUUGCCCUCAGUCUGUCCCAGAUAAAACAGCUCAGAUUUUCUCUAUUGAUUUUCAAUCCAGAAGCCCACUCGAACAAAUGCCACAACAGUCUUAGGUUUCUCAUAUAUCGUUUUCUAGCCAAGGAGAAAAAGAAGGUGUCAUCUGCAAACUGUGUAAGUAUCGUUGUGCUUUCAUCAGAAGGACCGAUGCCCUUGAAAAGGUUGUUUGAGGUGGCCUCUCUGGUCAUCCUGGCAAGACACUCUGCCACCAAUAGAAAUAGGAAUGGGGAGAGUAGGUCCCUUUGACGUACACCUCUUAGUUUUAAUCCAAUUAGUCGGCUCCCCAUUAACCAAAAUAGCUACUUUAGCAUUGCAAACACAUUGUUCGAUUCAGCCACACCAUUUCACGUCGAAACCCCACGACUGGAGUAUACUGAACAAAAAGGGCCAAUAAAUUCUAUCGUAGGCCUUUUCAAAAUCCACUUUAAUGCCGACCCCCUCAGUCGCCUUCUUACUACCCCAACUAAUUAGUUCAGAGACAGUGGCGUACGCAUCGGCGAUAUUCCUGCCUUGCAAGAAGGCAGAUUGAGAAAGAGAGAUUAGGUCGUUCAUACAGGUAGCAAGGCGAUUUGCAAGGACCUUCGAGAUAAUCUUUUGAAUACCGUUGAUGAGGCUGAUAGGUCGAAAAUCGUUUGCUCUUUCCGCCCCUUCUUUCUUAGGGAUAAGGCAGAUGAAAGAGUAGUCUAGGGGAGUAGUGGAAGCCUUGCCCUCAAACAACUCCUCGAACAAGUUGAGUAGGUCUUUCUUUAUGGAGUCCCAAAAGGUUUGGUAGAAUCUUAAUGGGAAUCCAUCGGGUCCCGGGGCUUUAUCGCUACCCAGUUGGAAUACCGCCUCUCUUAUUUCGUUUGCGCAAAACUUCUCUGUAAGCCGCCUCAUCAUAUUUGCCGAUACCCGAUUGGAGGUAAAUAGCCCACUCCAAUCUCCAAUAGAGUGUGGGGCAGAGUUUUCUGUCGUAAAAAGCUCUUUGAAGUAUCGAAAAAAAUAUAUCUUCUUGUCCUCUUCAGAUUGGUAAGUGCGCCCGUUGUCAGUUACGGCUGCAAUUCCAUUGGCGCGCCUUCGCCCAUUAGCAAUACUGUGGAAGUAUUUUGUGUUGUUGUCUCCAUCGCGUAGCCAAUGUUGGUUCGCUCUGGCUCUCCACAUAGAAGCUUCGUCGUUUAAGACGUCCCGUAGUUUGGCCUUUAGCUCGUCUCUCCUCACUGCACACUCCUCGGUUAACGUUCCUUGAUCCUCAUCUUUAUCUAUCCGAUGGAUUUCCUCCAUCAAAUAGUUCUUCCGCUCCCGAAUGCAGUAGAAUUUGUUGUUGCACCAUUCUUUAAUCCUUUGUCGACAGUGUCUUAGUUUCGCUGUGAAAGUGAGCACCGCUGAACCCUUCGGCGUUCCUUCACUCCACCAUCCAGGUACUUUGGUUAAGAACCCCUCGUGAUUGAGCCAUGCUUUCUCAAAUCGAAAAAUUUUCUAUCUCCCUUUUUUGCCUUGCUCAGCCGUUAGCAGUAUAGGGCAGUGGUCUGAAGUGACAUAGGGUAGCGCAACAACCUUGGAUAAAGGAAAAUCCUGAUCCCACUCAGUUGAGAUUAAGAAUCGAUCAAGCCUAGCAAGAACUGGGUUUUGUUGCAUAUUGGACCAUGUGAAUUGUUGGUUCAUCAUCGGAGGGUCUAUGAGGGUUAGCUCACUUAUGAGUUCGUUAAACAACAACAUAGCUCUAGCACUCCAAGUCUUCCCUCUCCGCUCCUCUUGCUUUCUAAUGCAGUUGAAGUCGCCGCAGAUGAUCCAUCUUCCCUAACAGUGCGUUUUAAGUUGCGUCACUUCUGUGAAAAACUCUUCCUUCCUGUCCCACGUCGCAGGCCCGUAAACGUUCGUGACAUAAAACUCUUUUCCAGACUUAGCGUGCGAAAAAAGGACAGUGAUCGAAAAUUUUCUGACUAGGACGUCGCGGCCAGUGAACAACUGAGAGUUCCAACAUGUGAUAACUCCCCCAGAAGCACCGUCAGAUUCGAGGAAGACGCACUUGUUAAGAAAAGAGCCACCAAAGGAGCGCAGAAAUGAGCUAGAAACAGAGUUCACCUUAGACUCUCGUAAACAUACGACCCUAUUACAAAGUUUAGAAAUAAUCGCCCUAACGGCGUUCCGCUUCGAGAUGCUGUUGAGCCCUCUAACGUUCCAACUACAAAUACCUAGCAUAGCAUAAAACAAAGGGCACCCAUCAACAAAGACCCAAAAUGAUGCCCGACAAACCCGAAAAAGUAACCCCCCGACUACGCGCGCUUGCGCACAAACUCCCCCAAAUUCCUUGCGUCGUCUUCUCCCAACCUCACUCCACAGAGGCGGCUCUUCCGUACGAGGUAAUUAGCAGAGUAGAUGACCCUACCCCUGCCCCCGCCCCCACCUUCCAGCUGUCUUACCUUCCUGAUCAUAGCCCGCUGCAUAAUCAAGCUCUUCGCACUCUUCGCCAAUCGCGUGCUGUAUCUCUGGCUGGUGAGCACUACCGAAUCAGUCUCGCUAUGACGAGGCUCCGUCUCAGGACUGAGAUCACUUCGUUGUAUGGCUCGUCCCGUGUCCAGAUGGUCUAUCAGCUUUGUCAAGGUCCCAUCCCAGUCACCCGUGCAGCCACCAAAAGCGUCUUCCUCCACGUCACCAUCUCGAGUCAAAGGCAAGACGGGGCUUCCUCCCCCAGCCACACUUUCCUUAGUGUGUGCCCCCCACCCUGUCAACAUCCCCUGAGUAAGUACAGAUCGGCACCUGUCCACGCCCCCUAGCACAUGCAAUCGGCUGAUGGGACCUAGGAUAGGGCCUAGAGCUAUUAACCAGGCCCGCGUUCCCGUGCCACCACAAACUCUAUCGCAGCCGAUAGAUCCCAAAGCAAAAGACAACAGUAGGUUUCCAUUCUCUAUCAGGUCAACCAAAGCUUUAUGGCCCCCAACAACCUGUUUCCCCACCCCCUUUGACAGUGAAACCAACAGAUCUCGAACCACCCCCCAACCUUAGUACCCCUUCCAUCUUCUAGAAAACACUCUGUCCUACCUUCUUCUCCCCAAUCUCCAUUGUGAUCGCAGCAGCCGCCUCGAGGUCCUAGAUUGUCGCACCCCCAUUGACCGUUGCAAGCACCCCCCUGCUCUCGAUCGUCGCGCCAUCAGCAGGCGUGGCAAGCACCCCAAUGCCCUCGGUCGUCCCGUCGCCGGAGCGGGUCGCGGGCCGCCGCCGGCCGUCGCACCCUGCCUCCUUCCCCGUGUCUCGGGAAGCUCCACCGUCGCCAACUCCCUUCCUUCUCUAAGUCCUUCGAUCGCUGCCUCCCACCCUCUCAAUCCCUUUUCGCGCCUGCUCCGCCCACCGGACCACCAGAGCAAGAGUGGCCGGUCGGGACUGCCUAGGGACGUCCGCUUCCUCCACUUUGCCCGCGCCCAACUCCGCCCCGUCAUCCUCAUUCGCCUGGUCCCCCUCACCGCCAACCGACUAGUUGGCAUCCGAAUCAUCGUCGACUGCUUCCCCUUCAGUCGGUCCAUUAUGAAGAGGAGGCAGAGGAGCACCACCACCCCCGACGUCGAUCCUCUCCCAACUUACAAGGUGGACCAUAACAGAGAACACUUCCUCACCAAGCACAAUGGACAGGUUUUGAGGGACAUCGAGCAGUGAGUCGAGGACGAUCUGACACCGAUACGCACGCAGAUCCGUCAAAGCUCUGGUGGUAGCAUCUGCCUUGAUGAACCUCCCAAAACCCCCUACGAUAGCCGCCACCCGGGGGAUGGUCCAGAUUUCGAAGGGUAGGUUGAUGAGGUGGAUCCACGGUUGAUAGCCCGACUGAUGAGGCUGGGCGUUCCAGUGCCUCCCCCACGGAUAGCAUCUGAUCCAGAAGUCGCUAAGCGUGAGCACUUCACGCCUAGUGAGUACAUCAACAUGCACCCAAUCCGGCAGAAAGAUGGCGAAGUCCCUCUCCCUGUGCCGAGCUACCGCAAAGUCAUCGUUGUAGCCCCCGAACCGUCACGCCAUCGUAUUUUUUAUGGUAGAAACCGGAUCGGGGCCUAGGUUCGCAGGCUGGAUGACAUCAGCUAGAACAGCGUUGCGCCGCAUCUCCUGCCGACGAAGGUACUCCUCCGUGUAUGGAACGAAAACCUUCGUCGCCGAGACGCGUCCCGGUCGUCCCUGUCGCUGGUUGAGUCUGAACAUUUCGGCGUUUGCCCAAAGACCCCUCUUAGCCUUGCACUGGUGUACUCGAUGGCCUAGCCGUAGGCACCUCCGGCGCCUGACCGGAUCCCGGCAAUCCGCGACAAGAUGGUCCGAGGCAAGGCACCAGAAGCACCGCCUGGCACUCGGAUGGCAAGGCAAAAGCUUCAAUCUCUGGUAUGAGGGGUAUUUCUUCGGUAGCUUAACAGAAGGUGGCUGGGUUGUCUUCCCUCUCCACAAUAAAGCCUCUUUGUAGGUCGCCGGCCUAAAGAAGGAGUUACUACCCCCACCCUCCCCGCAACAACUACCCUUUCCCGGAGUUGUGCCGAAUCGCAGACCCCCCUUUCCUUCACGAUGUCCGACAAUAACUCCAUUACCUAGCUUGCUAGUUAGCCCCUUGCCGAAAGCGUGCAAGGUCACCUUGUCUUUGCGCUGGAUUCGUAAGAUUUCCACAGCGCUUUCGCCAUCCUCGUCUGUCGCGUCCGAGCAAUCCAAGAGCUUUCGUCUUAAAUGUCCGUAGCUGCAUCCUUCAGGGCUUACACGAUUAGCCCCCUGGCCAGAGCGAAAUGACAGCUUGCACCUUAAGUGGCCAUUAAAUCCCCCAUCAGUAAGCUCGCACUUUCCUCUAUGGACAGGUAUGAUGCGUUUCCCACCAUCAAUACUCCCACCCACCGUCACUAGGGCUUCACCGAUCUCGUCUGCCCAUACCACAUGUUUCAGAACCUUCUUGCCCUUCCUCCUGUAGCUCUCGUAUUGCUCCCCCAGUCUGGUAGAGCCCUCGCUCCCUGGCUUGAUGGAGGCCUCGUCUCUCCAUUUUCAUCGCAGAACCUUCUUGCCCUUUUGAAAUUGAACUCUCAACAUAUAACUAUUUUUGGUUGAAAUCCUCUCAACUUCUAAACUUUUGGAAGUAAAUAAUUUUAGUUAAUAAAAAAAAGAUUUUGUCAAAUUCAACAGUGAUUUUAUCGUAACUAAUAAUUUUUACUAACUUUUAGCAAAUAAUACUAUACCACUAAACAAUUAGUCCUUCAUAGAGUUAUUAAAUUUGAUAAAAUUUUAGCAUAACAAAAUUAAAAUUAGAAGUUGAGGUGGUCUCAAUAAGGAAAAAAGUAAUUGUAAUACUCCAAAUAAUCCCACAUUGGAUAGAAAAAAAGUUAUGGUUGAAAAUAUAAGAGAUCUUAAACUUUAGUAAUAAUAAUCGGGCUUAAACAUUUUAGAUCAGUGGUUUAGAGACAACGAGUUAUUAUUGUUAAUAUGGAGUUGUUAUUGUUAAUAUGUCAAAUCAUUAAAUUUGUUAUCAAAGUCGAAUACCAGUUGAAAAUAUUCGUGUUUAUAACAUUAUUAUGAUUGAUUCAGUCUAUAAAAUUUAGUAAUCUUGACAAUAAAAUAUAUAGUCUAUUCCAAAAUUACGCUUAGUCAUAUUUGGCAAACUUUUUUACUAAAUUUUAUUUUAAAUAAUUUAAAAUUUUAAAUUUUAAAAUUUAAAUUUUAAAUUUGAACAUAAAUAUAAAAUUUAAUUUUUUAAGAUUUAGAGUAUAUGAAAUCAAUUGAAAUUUAUAAAUCUAAGAAUUUAAUAUUGGAUAGGAUUAAAAUUGAGAUAAUCGCUAAAAAUAUACAAUUUAUAAUAUAAGGUAUAGAAUUUAAAUUUUUAAAUCUAAAUUUAAGAAAUUUAGAAUUUAAAGACAAAUUUGAGAUAUUAAAAGUUUUAGAUUUUAAAAUUUAAAAAUUAAAGAUUAAAUUUGAGAGUUAAGAUUGACAAUUUUAAAUUUUAAAUUUUAGAUUAAGAUUUAAAUUUUAAAAGGUUUUAAACUUUAGCAUAAAAAUUAAUAUUUUAAAUUUUGACAAUGUUAAAAUUGAAGAUUUAAAAAUUUAAUGUUUAAUUUUAAAUUUUAAUUGUAAAGAUUAAAAAUUUAAGAAUUUUAAAAUUGUAAAAUUUAAAAGUUUAAAGAUGUUAAAGAGUGUUAAGGAUUUAAAUUAAAAUUUUGAAGUUUAAAAAAUUGAAUAUUGGUAAAGAGUUUAAUAGAUUGAAAUUUGUGAAUUGUUUAAAAAUUAAAUAAAAAUGUCAAAUGGGUCGAUUUAAAUUUUAAAAGUUGAGCAAUUCAAAUUUGCGAAAUUUAAAAUGUGUUUAAAAUGACGUACUUGAAAGGUGUUCAGGUGAGUGUAGGUGGUAGAAAGCUGUGUAGAUUUAAUGUAAACAUGACAAGGUAUUACUGCCUUCAGUAAUGCUAAGGAUAGCAGCUUGAUACAUGAGGAUAUUUGGCAAUCCUGCAGCCAUGUUUGAAUGGCUACGAUGUUACGAUGCUGAUUACCUCCGGGGAUGAACCAAACGGCAUGGACCUGAAGAGAUUGUGCAAGUAUAAUCGGCUGAAUCUAGGGAUUAACUCCGAGAGCCAGAAACUCGUGGUCACGCCUUAAGAGUUAAACUAGGUGAAUUAGCUCGGCGAGCGAUGCUGCAGAUAUAAAAUAUUUUAAUAACAAAUAUUAAUUAAAAUAUUUAUAUUACUUUAAUUUUUAAGUAUUAAUUAUAUAAAUUUUAAAAUAAUUUGAAUAAAAAGAAUGUAAAUUGGUUUAUGCACUACAAAAUUUUUUUUAAGAACUUGCAAGUAACUAAACAAUUUUAUAAAGGAAUAUAUAAGCAAAAAAUUAUUAAAAAAAUCAUAUGAAAAAAAGGUUGUUGGGAGGAGCUCUUUAGUCUUCAACUCUUUAUACAUAGAAAAAGAAAAAGCUUCUAUAAGAUUCACCAUUCAAGGUUCUAUAAGGUUUCACAAUUUAAACUAAAAUAUAAUUUAAUAAAUAUAAUCGGUAUCAUGUAAAAAUACAUAUGUAAAAAAUAUUUGAUCAAAUUUUGUAUAAAUUUUAAUAAAUAUUCUAUUUAAUUAACCAAAUUAAUCAUAAAAAGUUAAAAAAACCAUAAAAAUCAAUUAAAAAAUUAAAUUUGAGCAGUCUAUUGUAAAGGGUCUUAAUAGUUGAGAAGGUCCUCACAUUUUUUUUGCCAAAAUGUCUUUUGCUGAAUAUGUAUUGAAACUUCCUAAACUUUUAAUUUUUUAAGGUAAUUUUAUCAAAAAAUUUAUAAAUUUUGUUAAAUUCAUUAGUAAUUUCGUUAGAUUUAGAAUUUUAAUUUUUUUUGGUCAUUUUAAUGUAACUAAGCAUAAAAAUUACAGUAAGAAAUAAAACUUGAUUGGGUCUUAAUUCAAAAAAAUUAUAGUUGGGGGUUAUCUAUAUAUAUUUAUUUACAUUAAAGGAAAUGAUACUCUUUGAUGCACCAAAUGUAAAUAAAUUUUGUGCAUUUUAUUUUUGAAAAUCUGAUAUAAAAAUUUAAACUCUAGCAGUUUUUGAUAUAGAGGCAUUUUAUAUAGAUAGGUCGCAUUUAUAAAAUUAUAUUUUAAUUUAAUAAUACUAAUUAUAAAAAGUUAGUAUUAAUAUAUGUAAUAUUUAUAGACCUAAUUAUAAAAAGUUAGGAUUAAUAUAUGUAAUAUUUAUAGACCGAAUUAUAAAAAGUUAGGAUUAAUAUAUGUAAUAUUUUUAGACUGGGUGUAGGCAAAGUUUUUCUAUAAAUGAGGAGUGGGUAGGGAAGAAAUUAUUCGAUACGUCGGGUUUAUACUUGUAUUUAACAUCAUACUAAUAAAUCCACAUUGUUGGAACUUAAGGCUUAUAAUAUUUUGUACAUAAACUUAUUAUAAAAUAUAAAUUAUAUUUAAUUUUAAAUUGAAAAAAUAGAUUUGAUGCAUAUUAUAUUUGUGUAGACCGGGUGCAUGCAAUUUUUUUAAAGAGAGAGAGAAGAGCUUUAGGAGGACACUUCUCCUAAGGGCCUUGAGGUGACCCAACUCUCCUUUAAUGGAGUAGUAAUAGAUAAUAGAUAAUAGCUAAUAGAUGUUAUGCGAAAUAAAGUACGAUGUACAUGACAUAUUUGGUGACAGCAAUCUCUUAAACCUGCGGAAGCCAUCUCUUGAAUCCAAUAUUGCCUGAUAAUUCUAGUCUAUGAAUGUGAUCAAGCUUCAACAGAGGAGUCCAUAGCACCUAAUAAUUCUGAUCUAUGAAUGUGAUCAUGUUUUAGCAGGGUAGUUCGUAGCACUACAAUAGUUCUACAUCAGAUGAAAAAUAGAUUAUGAUUAGAUAUAUUAAUAUUAUGGAUCCUAAUAAUAAUAACUGGAUUUAAACAUUUUGGUCUGCAUUUUGGAACCAUCAAGUUAUUAUUAAUAGUAGAUCCGGUCAUUCAAAAAGCAUCGCUUUUCUUUCUAAAUUUAGUUAGUAUUAUUAUUUUUCGUGCAAUUCUCACAACUGUAAAUUCAUUAAAAUAAGCACUUAACUAAAAUACAAAUUUAGUUAGUAUUACUAUAUUGCACUUAACUAAAAUUUACUAUAUUUCAUAUUUAGUUAGUAUUACUAUAUUGUACUUGACUAAAAUUUACUAUAUUUCGUGCAAUUCUCACAACUGUAAAUUCAUUAAAAUAAACACUUAACUUAAAUUUUAGUUAGUAUAUUUCGUACUGUAGUAACCCUGGAAUUCAGCAUUUGAGGCUUGUCGACAGCUCUGGAGAGUAUCGGAACAAGUCCGAGUCCUGUUGGCGUGAAAUAGACGCAAACUGGACUCAGCGGGACGCGAGAGCGGGAAGUUAGCAUUGCAAUCUCCAAAUUGCAUAUUUUUAGCAAUUGGUACCGGUACCACCCAGGGGAGUACCGGUACCCAGUGCAUUUUCUGCACAGACUGCUCUCGGGUUGGCCAUCCUGCUGCCUGGUACCGAUACAACAUUGAUGUUGUACCGGUACACCAGGGUAGGUAAGGGGCUUUUUGGUCUUUUCUUGUCUCGUUACUUGCACCCUUAUCCUUCCAACAUAUAAAGGAUUGAGAGGCUAAGAGAGAGAGAGUUUUGGUUGCUGCCUUCUCUCUAUCUAGCUGAAGCCGUACGCAAGGAGAGAGGCUUCGGGUGGAGUUGGAGUGAUGUCGACGUUGCGCGGCGGUGCCGUUCGAGCGCGCGUUCGUUGUGGUAGCGCCGUUGGGAGGCUGGGCGAGCGUGUGGUUCCGCUUCUAUCGACUUAUCGCCGUUGUUGGACGCGCUUCCGAGGUGGGUUAAAGUGAUGCUUACCGGAUUCUAAGGGUUUCCUCCUAAUUCUAUAUGUGUUGACAACAUGUAUUUUUAACUUGUUUAGUAUAUUGUUUAGCUCGAUUUUUGAAAUUUCAUGUCUAUAAACUUGAAUGGGAGCAUAGAAAAUUAGCUAAAAUAUGCAUGUUGGAUUUGAAUUUGACUUAGGAGAAAACUGACGUUUCUACACCGCCAUUUGAACAAACUACCAGAUUUAGCUCUAGGAGCCGUAGUUUGUCUGUAUCGCCGCAGUUUGUGGGCGGUGGAUACCCAGAAUAGUGUAAAAUAUAUUUACGCUCGUGCCGAGGUGCCGAGUGUAUUUUUACAACAGUGUUUAGGCUAUUCCGGAUUGUCGGGUGUCGUUGAAGUUUACGGUGGAUCCAGAUUGCUGUUUUUGCAUUAGAUCGUGCCGAGGGCACGUGAGUUCAGUUGUUAGACCCUAUUUACUUGACUAUAGCCUGUGAGAGCCUGAUUGAGCUCGACAGAGAUACGCUUGCAUACUCAGUUGGGUAGCGCCACGAUUGCCACUCUAGAGUCGGGCUUUGUGCUUUUGCGUUGGUGUCGUUUGGUCCUGGUUGGACUUACUCUCCACUGACGACCUGGUUUGGUGUCAGAUUGUGUAGCUUCGACAGGCGGGACGGGUGUGUUCACAGUCCCUAGUGAGAUUGGGUCAGGCUUUACUAUUUCCUACAGAUUGUUGGUGUUCGACCAAGAUAGUAUAGGUGCAUAUAGCUGUAGAUUUAUUCCAGCUUUCUUACUAUACUUGUUUACAUCUGUAGACUUAGUGGGUGAGCCAUUGAGGUCAGUAGCGGUAUCCAUUGAGGACACUUUUUUUGCAGUAGUUCUCACGCCCAGUUGUUGGAAUCUUUUGCAGAGCCUUCUUCUUCGGCUGCUGCUGCUGCUGCUGCUGAUUCGGACCGUAGAAAGGGAUUCGCGAGUUAGAUCCCUUCCCAGUUGCUGCUGAGCUAGAGUAUACCAGCUACAGGUAGUGGUAGUUUUUGAGUUCAUAUACAUACUUUUGUUGUAUCUCGCCGGAGCGAGUGUUUUGUACACCAGAAUGCUUGUAUGUAUAGUGAACUUCUGUUUAUAUUUAUAUCAUUUUUCUAGCAGCUCUAUACUACUGGUUGUAGUAUUGUUUGAUUACAGGUACAGUUGCCGCUUCGUAUACAGAAAAAAUUUCUUUGUAUACGGCGGAUUUAUCGGCGUGCCCGGGGAAAUGAGUAAUCUGGGGCGUGACACGUACAAUUCUCAUAAAUAUAAAUUUAUUACAGUAAGCACUUAACUUAAAUUUUAGUUAUGAUAUUUUCAUACAAUUCUCAUAAUUAUAAAUUUAUUGAAGUAAGCACUUAACUUAAAUUUUAAACUCAAUGUACCGUUGACUGAUUCAAACCAAAUAAAUUAAAAGAUUGGACAGUAAAAUUAAAAUUUUAAAAGGCUGAAUAGUAAAGUCAAAACGGUGCAUAGUUCAGACAAGUUUCANUGAAAAUCAUGUCAUGGAUAUCUCAAAAAUGAUCAAGUAAAAACGACAGAUAUGCAAAAAAAAAAAAAAAAAAAAAAAAAAAAAAAAAAAAAAACUGAGGGACAGUUUUAUCGAUAUUAUUAUUUGGAACUAACUUGCAGGUGGGAAAGCAUUUCUCAUGUAAAAUCAACAAAAAAAAUAGCAGUUGUUAGAGGGUUAUGCCUAGCCGACGUUAAUUCAAUUUUGUUUGCUUACUCUUUUCUUCCCACGAAAAAAAGAAAAAAAAAACUUUGUUUGCUUACAUCUGCUGGCCUUAUUGCUGUUUUUUUAUUAGAGCUAAUUGCAUAUAAGUCCCUGUAAAUAUAGUAAAUCAUAGAUAUGUUGUCAUGCCCCAGAUUAUCGCGUUUCCCCGAGCGUGCCAACAGACCUGCCGUAUACAAAAAAAAUUUUUCUGUAUACGAAGCGAUAGCUGUACCUGUGUAAGGACUGAGAUUUUUACGGUGCAACUAAACUCUCUGUUGAUGAUGUUUAUGUGUGUAACUUAAUUACAUAAGCACUCAUCAAGUUUCAGGAGAAAAUGAGCUAGAACGGAGAAGUUACGCGAUUAUUAGUUUUCACUUAAAGUGAAUAGUAACCCGAUUUUCCGGAGAAGCUACAGAGUAGAGUUGGCUUUCGGCAUGUAUCGGACUCUGUUCAUAGUGAUCCAGUAGCUCGUUUCGAUCGGUUCAGCUAUUCUGGAACCAAUGGCACUGACGGAUUUCAGAUCCGAUGACGGUUUUCGAGAAAAAGGAGUUUUAACAAAAAGAGAAUUUCCGCUCCUUGCUAUUCGUGCAUUUUAAAACUCCUCGUGCUUUGUACAAGUGAUCUGGAGAUGGGUGAGAGAUGUUUCAAGUACCUACUGGUGGUAGGGAAUUCAAAUACGAGUUUGAAUUAAAGGAUUUCGGGUUUCCACCAAGGCCUAUGUGUGAUAUAUGGAUUAGUUGGAGAGAGGUCGGAUUUUGUUACAAAUCAGCAAGUAAAUCGGAUGAAACGAAAUCGUAGCUUCGAUGCCCUCGUCAUGCUGAACGCGAUGGCUCUGUCGGAUCGAAAAUCCGACGGACGGAUUUUCGGGAAACGCGAAAUGUUCGCUGAGGGGUCGAAUUGGCAAAAUUGGAAACUUCGCAAAAGUCAUUGUAUUUUAUGUGCCGAAUCGCGUGAGAUCGGACAUAGAGGUGCGUAUGUGUAAAAUACGCGCGCUGUGAGGGACUUGACUGAGAAUAUUACCCCUGGGAGGACUAUUUUGCAAAAUGCACAUAUGUGUAUAGUGGUUGCACUAGGGUUUCAUGAGGAAACCCUAGCUUUUGGCCUCCCUCUUCCUCAACCGAACCCCAGCCGCCUUAGCUCUCCCCUGCCCACCUCGUGCGCGUGCCCCGACCGCCGGCAGGUGCUCCGACCGCCGGAAAACCCUUCCUCCAUCACUUCUUUACCUAUUCUCCACCCUCCUCGGCCAUGCAACCCAGAGGAACUUCAAACACCUUUGGAAGCCUUCCCUUGGCCGAGAUCCACCCUCCGGCGCCGUCACCGGCCGUUCCCACCGCCUGCGCACGCCGCCGACGCCGCCCAAGCAUGCUGCGCCUACCCCUCAGUCAGCCCAGAACACACUCGGUGGGCUCGAGGCCGAGCAUCGCCGCCACUCCAAUCCGCCCAGCGACGUCAUCCUCCGGCUCCGGCGACAUCCCGCUGCCGCCGCCCGCCGCCCCCCGCCGUCCCGGAACGCCGACGAGCACCCUAGCUCCUUGCAGCCAACCGCAGAUCACCACAGAUCGAGCCUGGGUGAUCUCGGCAUCCACGUGCGCCCGCCGCUCCUCGCCGCAGUGCGGCCCUACAGACAUCGCUCGCGCGACCCGGCGCGCAGCGUCCCUGCCAUCCCCCGCGCCGCCGGCCGCCGCUGGAACCUUCUGUGGCCGCCCAGACCCGUGCGGGCCGGUCGGACCGCUCGGCUUCCAAGCGCCGCCGCCGCCCACCGGCCUCGGCCUCCGGCCCGGAUCGUCGCCGCCCCGACUCCUCCGGCCACCGCCUGGCGACGCGCCGGGAACUCGACGUACUGAGAGGAGUGGGCGGAGUCGAUCUCCUCCGCCGCGCCACCGGUUGCAGCCCGCCGCCGGCCAGCACCCUCCCCGGACCUCUCGGACCGGCUGCUCCCAUCCCUGGCCGGAGUGCCCGCCUCCCGGCCGCCGGCGACCAAUCCUAGCUCCCACUGCUCCGGUGUGCUGUUUCUGAGUUCCAGCAUUGUUGUUUAAGCUUUCCGGCCACGUUUCCGGUGAUCCGAGGACUCCCCGACACCCUGGGAAGUGAGCACGAUGAUCUACAACUCGUGCUAAACAUCGUGCUCACCUCCGACAGCGGCAAAGAUGCCCUGGUUAGUGAGUUAGUCGCGAUCUUCGUGCUGUGCGAGCAGUUUAACAGAUCUUCACAUCGCUCGUACGCGCACCGCAGUGGCCGGCAGUGCUCCGAAAGGUGAGCACGACCUCCGUCAUGCUGAAACCUAUCAGCGAGCGCGAUGAUUCGCUUAAUCGACUUCUGGUUUACGUGCACGGUCCAGAAAAGCCUAGAAAUCACAUGAAAUAAUGCGAUUUCAUGUAUCGGUGUGGGCUUUUAGGACUUUUGCUUUGAUGUAGCUGCUGUUGGCAGCAUGUUUGGGCUGAGGAUAACCUCUGAACUAAUCGUCCAAGGCCCCAAGCCCUCGCGGAAAUCGAAAAGUGAUUUUCGGAGUGUUUUUCGGCGAAGUCAGCCGAUAGAACGCGUUUUCGAUUCGGAAUUCUUCCGACGGUACUUGGGGAUGAUUUAUUGUGUCGCUGAGCCUAGUUGGCUGGUCACCCGCAUCGUUUUGUGGGUUCGAAAACGACAGGUGAGCGACAGUAAAGUUCCGGUACGGUUUUCGAAACUUCCGGCAUGUUCGGUAAUCGGUUUUGGGAAACCGGUUCUCGUGGUUUUGGUGAGUGGGGAUUGUGUGUUAGCGAGACAUGUUAGUGGGUUAGAUUCUAACCCGUUGGACCUUUCGUAGGUUUGAUUGUUUCGUCUUCACAGUCGAGAGAUCUUCGUCAGACACGUACAGGUGGGUACUUCGAUCCGAUGUCGGUACAGUGGUGCACGUUCGGUGAUGGUUUCUUACCCUUGCCCUCUUACUAUUAUCUGUGUGCGUAUACAUAUUGAGCCUUUCACCCAUAUUAUUUCCAUAUUUACUCUACUCGGUUGUUUCCAUGUUUAGUAUCUUGUGUAGGAGUAGAGUAGAUUUCAUCAGCAUAUGAUAUCUGUGACAUGAUUGGUCGAGUUCAUAUCCUAUAUCUGUGACAUGAUUGGUCGAGUUCAUAUCCUAUACUUGUGACAUGAUUGGUCGAGUUUCAUAUCCUAUACUUGUGACGUGAUUGGUCGAGUUUCAUAUCCUAUACUUGUGACAUGAUUGGUCGAGUUUCAUAUCCUAUACUUAUGACCUAUUCGGUCAAGUUGCUACAGUUCUAUCUUGACAUACGUAGCCGACUAGUUGCUGAUGGCUUAUACGGUCGGUGUGCCCUGAGGGGCUGGAUUGUCGGCUAGUUGCCGAUGGAAGAUCUUUGAGCAUACUACAUUGAUCGCCACUACAGGUACGCAUUUCACGAACACCAGCGGUCUGAUCCACCGCAAGAGGGUGUUCUUUUCCGGAAAAGUGGUUGGAUUGCCAACCCGUGAGCCCAGGGGCUUUAUUGCGAGGGUAUAUGCUUCUGACCCAGGGGCUUCAUUGCGAGGGUCAGGUACUGUGCUUCUGACCCAGGGGCUUCAUUGCGAGGGUCAGGUACAGGUUGAGCAGUGUGGCAUGGGCCUGAGGUCUUCGGACCAAUAGGGCAGCGAGAUUGGGUACUUUUGAGGUUAUCGUCAGUUGACGCAUGCAUACAGUAGCUGUAGUGUUUAUUUCCAGUACAUCCUUAUCUGUUUAUUGUAGCUACUGUUUUAUUUACCUGCAUCUAUACUUGUCAGCUCCUUACUUAUCAGCAUCUUUACUUACCAGCACUUAUGUCUAUCUAGUUCUCCGUGUUGUUGUAUAGCUCUCUUCCUGAUCCGGUGAGUACUCCUCGCCUUCUUCGGCUUGCGGUACCCACUGGGAGGGGAGACAUGUUUACAUGUUCUCACCUCCCCCACCAUUUUUCAGGUAUCGCGGGCGAUGAGUAGUGGGACGAGACGUGAGGUACGUGUGUAGCGGUCGAUAGAGCUUCCGACCCAGGUUAUUUCGAUUUAGUUAUUAUCCUUGGUAUUUCUGUUGAUAUAUAGUUUAGUUGGUUUAUGUGGUUCAGUAUUUAUUUACAUUUGAAAAUGUGGAUUUCUGGAUUUUGUAAAAUAAAAGGUUUUCUACCCCUCGUGGUAGCGUUUUUAAAAGAUAAAAGUUUCCGUGUAGGGAACAGUUUUCAAAAGGUUUUCUGUAGAUUUUGUAUCUUAGUAUUUCAAAACCUGUUUCUGAGUUGGAAACAUUUAACUGAUAGAUAUGGAUUUAUGUUUAAAUAUUGAAUAUAUAAAUGUGAACCUGUGAUGUGAAUGGUGUAUGGAUAUAUAUAAUUGUUGGUUAUUUGUAUAUUCAUUUGGUUGUGGUUGUACCUGGGUUGCUUCUUGUACUUGUGCGACGUUGUGCAAAUACAGGGGAGACUCUGUCCGUGUGCACAGUGAAUUUCCUGUAUUUGUGGCGGAUCUGGCAUACUCUGGGGUCAGGUUUUCAAAAAAAAAAAAAAAAAAAUUUAGACGCUUUUCCACUAUCUUUUAAACUGAAAGGGACCUCGGGGCGUGACAACCUGUAAACGAAAACAAGCUACAACCACAAGGUAAGAGCUGCUAGACUGAAAAUAGCAUAUAUAUAAAACCUCGAGGGGUUCCAGUACAUACAAAAUGUCUAUUACACCACUCGCUUGAGCGAGUAUCGAGACAACAACCAUAUGUAUAUAAAUACCCCAAAAUUACCUGUGAGAGGUACUCCUCUAGCACUACAACAAGACUGGAAAAAAUCUAGCUCGCAACUCCCUUUCCACGAUCAGAAUCGGCGACAGCAGCAGCCGCAGAAGAAGGCUCUUCAAAAAGGGGUCAACAACAGGGUGUGAGAACUACUGUAAAAAGGAGUAGUCCUCAGUGGGUACCGCUACAGAUCUCAACGGCUCACCCACUAAGUCUACAGAAAGUAUGUAUAAGGAUAGUAAAGAAUGCUGGUAAAACUCUACAGCUAUAUACCACUAUACUAUCGCUAACCGACACUAGCUAUCUGUAGAUAUAAGAAUGCCAUCUUUGACCCAAUCUCACUAGGGACUGUGAACGCACCCGUCCCGCCUAUCGAAGCUACACCAACCACCACCACGCUGGGUUGUCGGUGGAGAGCAAAUCCAACCCGGACAUUAGACAUCAACGCAAACACACAAAGCCAGACUCUGGAGUGGCACCCGUGAGCGCUACCCAAACAAGUAUGUAAGCAUGUCUUUGCCGAGCUCAAUCAAGCUCUCACAGGCUAUAAUCAACACAACUAAGUCUAACUGGUCUAACAACCAAAUCUCACGUGUUCUUGGCACAAUCUGAUACAAAAUACAAAAAUCUGGGUCCACCGUCAACCACGACGGCACCCGACGGUCCGAAACAAUUUAUACACUACUGUAAAAUAAUUUCGGCAUCCCAGCACGAGCAUAAACUCAUCCUACACUAAUCUGGGUAUCCACCGCAUACAAACAGCGACGAUACAGACGAACCACAGCUCCUAAAGUUAAAUAUGGUAAUUUUCAGAAAUAACAGUGUAGAAUCUAUAUAUUUUCUCCUAAGUCAAUUUCAAGUCUAAUAUGUAAAAUUAUAAUUCUAGCUUAACUCCAAAUUCAGAUUUUAUCUCUAAUCCAUGAAUUUGAGUACUAGCAAGGAAAUAAAAUCAAUGCAACAUGUCGACGAUGUUAAAACUUAGGAGGUAUUCCGACGAUUUCGGUAAACUUCAACCCACCUCGAAAAGCUCGUCCAACCACGACGAGAAGUCGAAAGAAGAAGAAAUCACGCGCUCGUCCAGCCUCCAACGGAGCAACCGCGAUGCCCACGUGCUCAAACGACCCUUCGGUGCAACGGCGAUAAACUCCCGAGCUCGAGUCGUGACCUCCACCUCGAACACGAUCAAGAAAUAGAGAGAGAGAGAGAGCAGCAAUCUAAAAACCUCCUCUGUCUCUCUACACAUAUAUAAAGAGGUGGGGAUAAGGUUGAUAUUAACGUACUUCAAAUGACCAAAAAGUCCUUCACCAACUCAAAAUUACAGCUAGAGUACCGGUACCCAAUUUGGUUACCGGUACUCGGUCUCUCAGCCCGUAAGCUCGCACACAUGGUAUCGGUAUCAACCCGAUGCCGUACCGAUACUCAACACUGAAAUCCUGCACUUUGCGGAUUUCAGCAUCAGAACUCUACUCUCGUCUCGCGUCGAGUCCGUUUUGCGUCUAUUUCGGGCCAAAACGACUCCGACUUGUCCCGACGCUCUCCAGAUGUGUUGACAAGCCCCGGAUGAUACUCACAGGCAACCAAACACCAGGGAUACUACAUAUAUUCUUACAAAGUUCAAUUUUUAUAUGUUGGUUCUUCAAAAGUCCUGAUGUUUUCAAAUAUAUUCCUACCGUUAGAAUCCGUUAGAAAAAUUUAGUUAACAAUAGGUUAAAUACUUAAUCCUGGUUAGUCAAUGAGAUGAAUUGACCUUUUAUUUCUUUUUAAUUAACAGUUGGGACUUUUGAAGGGACAUAUUUGUGAUGACAAAAAAAGUAUUUUAAGUAUAAAAUAAACGGUGUUUUAACGAUAACAAAUAAGAGGGAUAUAUUUAAAAUAUUAAGACUUUUGUAGGGACAACAUAUAAAAGAUGAACUUUAUAGAGGUAUAUUUAUAAUUCAGCAUAUUUGUAGGGACCUGUAUGAAAUUAACUCUUUUUAUUAUUGUAAACAUUAAUUUUGUACAAUAUAACAACUGGUGCCGAUUUUUUUAUUAUCUUGAUUAUUUUGUUCGUAAAAUACUUUGAUCAAGUAAUAUAUGUGUUUUCGUCAAGCCAAGUUUUUUGGACAGCUCAUCGAGUUAACAGUUGAUCUAGUCAAAAAUACAUUCGAUUCACGAAUUGGCUUGUUGGAUGACCCUCGAUAGUAUCAAGAUCAAGCGAUUCUAUUGAGAAGGGUUCUCUCUCAAUGCGUAAAAAUUUUUGUAGAUGAGGCGAGAAUUGAUUCGACUGAAAUUAGAGCAGAAAUAAUUGCUUUUCAUUAACUAGAGCUUUGCAUAUUACAAAGAAAAGAACGCUGGGUUUCCAAUUGUAGGAAAGACUUGGCGAAAAACUUAAUUACAAGAAGACUAAAGGCUAAAAACUUAGAUUUAAAGCUACUCCUAAAAAACCUAUAAAUGCUAAAAAUAAAAAUAAAAAAUAUUAAAUCAUUGACCGUCCUAGCACAAGUGGCUAAGGAUUUGGUGGUUAGUACCUAAAGUCUCGAGUUUGAAUCCUAAUUGAUUUAUAUUUUUAGGUAAAGUUUACUUUUAAAGGCCAAUUUGCAUAAAAAAUUCAUAAAUUUUGAGCUUUUACAAAACUGGGCCGCCUUUUUUGAUUUUGCAAAUUCAAUCCGAAUUUUCAGCAAACUGACCAAAAUACCCUUAUUACUUUUUCUCUCUCCUCUUUCUCUCUCCUCUUCUUUUCUCUUGUUCAUUUUUUUUUCUCUCGCCGAAGAAAGCAGCGGAGGCGGAGGCAAAGGCGGAGGCGGAAACGGCCCGCCUCGCCUCUCAUCCUCAUGGUCUCGCCCUCACCCUUGCCCUCGCCCGCGCACCCCCCACCUUCCUCGCCUCCGACUCCGCNUUUUUUUUUUUUUUUUUUCUCUCCGACUCUCCUCCGCCGUCUCCGACGACAACGUCUCUUUCGCCCUUCCCCGCCCUUCUCGUCCUCUCCCUCUCCCUCUCCCUUCUCCUCUGCCGCCUCCGACAACGGCGCAUCUUCGCCGAUGCCGACACCGACACCAUGGAGGUCGCUGCGGCGCUGCAACCUCGGAGCGCGGGGUCCUUAGCGGCGUCGCCGCCGGCGCCGUUGUCACGCCCCGGGGCCGAUUUUAAAAGCCUUUUAAAAACAGAGUUGCGGAAAACGUGCCAUUUUUUUUUUUUUCUCAACCUGGCCCACGCGACGUACAGACCCGCCACAAAUACANAGCCAACUUCUCACCGCGGCUUUUCCGGAAAAUCGAGUUACUAUUCACUUUAAGUGAAACUUGGAAAUCGCGUAGAAUUUCCGUUUUAACUCGUUUUCGCCCGAAACUUGACGAGUGCUUUUGUAAUUAAAUUACACACAAAAACAUCGUCAACUGAGAGUUUAGCUACACUGCAAAAAUCUCAGUCCUUACAGCCGUGCCCGUUGGCAAAGAGGGGUGACAAAAAAAAUUUAUAGAAGAAGCAAGAAAAAAAAAUAAAGAUAAAAAAUUAUAGAAAAAAAAGAUGAAGAUGAAAUUGCACCGUUAAAAAAACGUUGCACUAUUAUGGAUAUAAGUUGCACUAUUUAAAAUGUCAACUGCAGCUUUAAGAUGAAAAUUACACUCUUUAAACAAAAAUUGCACUCUUUGGGAGAUAUUUACAAUGUUUCUUCUCUUAUUGUACUCUUUCAGAUGUAAACUGCAUCCAUUAAAAUAAAAGUUACACUCUUCAAACGAAAAUUGCACUCUUUGAGAGAUAUUUAUACUGUUUUUUCUCUUCUUGUACUUUUUGAGAUGUAAACUGCAUCCCUUUAAAAGAUAUUUAGACUGUUUUUUCUCUUGUUGCACUAUUUCUCCUCUUGUUGAACUAUUCCUUCUCUUAUUAUACUGUUUCUUCUCUUAAAGAGUGUAGUUUAAGAUAAGAAACAGUGUAACAAGAGAAGAAACAGUACAACAAGAGGAGAAACAAUAUAAAUAUCUCAUAAAAAAGGGGUGCAUUUUACAUCUCAAAGAAUGCAACAAAACGAGAAACAGCGUAAAUAUCUCUCAAAAAGUAUAAUUUUCGUUUAAAGAGUGUAACUUUCAUCUUAAUGGAUGCAGUUUAUAUCUGAAAGACUGCAAUAAGAGGAGAAACAAUGUAAAUAUCUCCCAAAGAGUGUAAUUUUUAUUUAAAGAGUGUAAUUUUCAUCUUAAAACUGUAGUUUACAUCUUAAGUAGUACAAUUUAUAUCCAUAAUUGUGCAACAUUUUUUUAAAACAGUACAAUUUUAUUUUAAAGAUGCAAUUUCAUCUUCAUCUUUAUUUUUCUAUUAUUUUUUAUCUUUAUUUUUUUCUUGCUUCUUCUAUAAUUUUUUUUUGUCAUCCCUCUCUGCCAACAGCCACGGCGCCGUCGACGACGUCGUUAAGGACUCCCUGCUCCAAGGCUGCAGCGCUAUAGCGACUUCCACGGUGUCAGCAUCGGGGAAGAUGCGUCGUCGUCGAAUGCGGCAGAGAGGAGGGAGAGGUAGAGGAUGAGAAGGGCGGGGAAGGGCGAGAGAGGCGUCGUCGUCGGAGACGGUGGAGGAGAGUCGGAGAGGAAAAAAAAAAAAAGAGUCGCGGGAGAGAGAAAAAAUAAUAAAGGUAUUUUGGUCAGUUUGCUGAAAAUCCGGUCCGAAUCUGCAAAAUCGAGAAAAGUGACCCACUUUUGCAAAAGCGCAAAACUAGUGGAUUUUUUGUGCAAAUUGGCCACUUUUAAAUUAAAUAAACAUCACAAUUUCUAACUGUUGCGUCCAAAAAUCUAUUUAUCUUCGAGUAUUCUUUUCCUUGAGUAUUCUUUUCAGGCUCUUUCUAUUUGGCCACGUGAGCCAAGCACAUGAUUCAUAUUUUCAACUGUUGCGUCCAAAAAUCUAUUAUCUUUGAGCAUCCUUUUCAGGCUCUUUCUAUUUGGCCACGAGAGCCAAACAUAUGAACCGGGCCGGCUACCAGCUGGCACCUCUUUCUUUUGCGCCAAUAGUAUGAAAUCUUGUUCAAAAUGAUCUGACACAUUUUUUGAAAUUUAAAUUUAUCAUUUAUCUUUUAGUUAAUAUAUUUUUUAAAAUUCACAUAACUAUAAAUUGAUCAAAGCAAGCAAAUUAGUUUGAAUUUUUGUAUCUGAAAAACCAUCAAAUCACUUAAUCAACAAAUUGAAAGGUUGUGUGUACUAAAAUCAAAAUUUUGAAAAAAAUAGAUAGUCUCGUCAAAAUAAUCUACAAUUCAAGUUAAAUUACACAUUAUUAUUUUAAAUAAUAAUAAUAAUAAUAAUAAUAAUAACAAUAAAAAAAUAUCAAAUUAGACUUUAGUCUAUCGAUUUUUUGAUUUUGACUCAACAAAAGCUAGCAAUCCACCUCGCAUCGACUCGUCAGUAAACAAGCUGAAUAACCGACCGUUUUUAGAGCAAGUGGCAAAACGCUUGAUGGUUCGUACCUGAGGUCCCAAAUUCAAAUCCUAAUUGAUUCACAUUUUCCAUCGGAUAGCAUGUAAUCUAUCUCUAAAAAAAAUAAAAUAAUAAACAAGCUGAAUAUGAGCUAAAUUUUUUAACUAAAUAUUUUAACGAACCAGCAUGUGUUUAGGUCAUUUAAUAAACCAAUAAAAAUGAGACGGCCACAACUGGCUUGUGUUCGGCUCGUUGACGACUGAAGACGCGCUUGACCUACCAUCGUCAGACUGUCAUGCUCGGAAGACGUAUUUGCCGGACGCCCUGGCCAUGGAUUACUAAAUCAAAGUCUUCAAAUAAGAUUUCGUGUGUGACUGUCAGACUUUGGUCCGUAUCACUCUUCCUCUACAAUUCAAAGAGUCCAACUCCCAUACGAAAGGUAAGAAAAGCUUUUUUUUUUUUUUUUUUUUUGGUAUGUCAGGUUGUGGUGUGCAAUAGACUACUAAUUGUAUUUAGGAAUAAAUUUCAGAUAUUAUUUCUAUAGUUUUAUACUUUUUUACUUUAGUACUUUGUGGUUUAAAGUGCAUCAAGUUAGUGUCAUGUGGUUGCAUUUUUAUUUUCUCACUAGUUUCUCCGUUAAUAUUUCGUUAAAUUAUAUAAAAAAAUUUAAGGUACUCCACCUAGAUUUAUCGAAUAUUCACUUUAGUACACUUUAGUCUUUACUUUGUCACUCAUUUAAUAAAAAAAAUUAGUGGAAUUAAUCGAUAAUAAAAAGAUAAAAAUGAAACCACAGGGUACGAAAUUGAUACACUUUAAACCACAUGGUAUUGAAAUGAGAAAGUGUGAAACCACAAGAAUGGUAUUUGAAGUUUUUCCUUGUAUUUAAAAUAAUUGGCUAAAAGCUUGAUGAUUGAUAUAUGAGAUCUUAAGUUCGAGCUCUACUUAUUUUAUAUGUAUUAUUUUUUUUAAAAAAUGAACAGAGCUGAUAACUCUCAAAAAAUAUUUCGUUUAGAUUAAAUUACCAAAUCAAGUUGAUGAAUUUUGAUUGGUUCAGUUCAUUUUACACAUAAUUCACUUUGGUUUGAUAUAAUAAGUUGUAAAUUGAAAAAAAAAAAAACCAGAACUAACAAUUUUUUUUAAUAAUUUAAUGACAUUAAUCUUAGAUUACAAUUAAAUAAUUGGAGAGUUUGAUUAUACCUUUUUUUAGUGGUUUAACAAAUUUAACUUCAAAAAAUUUAAAAUCGAAUAAAUCAAACGGAACUGAUCGUAUUGUUCCGAUUCAAUUUAUGUUUCUAAUUUGAUUCGGUUCGGUUUUGAAAGCAAUCUCCCAAAAGCCGAACCGAACCAACCGAAGCUCAGCCUUAUUCUUAGGGUGUUUUCUGAAUAGGAUGCUUCAUACCUUAGUAAAUACAUAUUUUCUCAAAAUUUCUUUUCAUGAUGAUAAUUUUUUUUUUAAUUUGUUAAACUAUUUUUAAUUGAUAUUUUGAUAUUAAUUAAUUAGAUAAAAUAUUAUUAAUUUAAAAUUAUAAUUACUUUUGUUUUCAUUAUUCUAAUCUAUCAUCCAAGCAUUGUUUAUCUUGUUUCCUGAAACAACUUAAUUUUCAUCCAACCAAAAAUUUACUAUAGUUCUUGCGGAUCUGAACUUGUACCUAUUUCUGAAAUAAGCAAUUUUGCCUGAGUGCGCAUCAUGUAUAUGAAUUUUUAUAAAUCCUAAAACACAAAGCAUCUUGUAUAUGAAUUUUUAUAAAUCCUAAAAUACAAAGACCGUAAGAUUUACAACCGUAUAUAUAUAUAUAUACAGUAAGAUUUAAUUACAACUUUAUACAGAUAUAUAAUUAUUCUUUUUAACAAUAAUGCUAUCCUUACACCAUCGGACUAAAUAUACAUCUUAUUCUGCCGUAUGAAGUCCAAACAAAGUUAGUUAAUUUACGAAUUAUUCACGAAUUAUUGAAAAUUUAAAUUAAAACAGCCCAUAUGUAAUUUAUUUCCAAAAAUCAGAAUAAAAUGCGGAUUUUUAGGUUAGAUUUAUUAUUCACGAAUAAUUCGCAUAUGCUGAAUUAUUCGGCCCAAAAAACGCGCAAAACUAUUGGAUAAGUUUUUUUUUCCCAAAUUAUUCGCGAAUUAUUGUUGAUUAUUCAUAAAUUAUUGAAAAACUUCAUGAACUUUUGGAAUAUGUGUAUCAUGAAAAAGAUGAAGAUGGAGGCGAUAAUAAAAUUUACUAUUGUAUUUUUUACUUAAUCUACUUUAUUUUAUAGCUCUCUAUUUUUAUAUUCUUAAAAAUUUAUAACUAUAUAUGCUAGUAGUAUAAAUAUAACGAAAAAAACUUAGUUUAAUAGCCGAAUUUUUUAUCGCGAAUUUUUAAUUGAUAAAUGUAUAAUUUUCGUAUAAAUCGCGUAUUCGAAUAAUUGGCGAACCCAUUUUUUUAACUAUAUUUCUGAAUGAAUUUAAAAAUUAAAAUAUAAAUUUUAUUUGAAUUAUAUUUGUACUGAGUUUUUGUCGAAUCCGAAUUAAUUAAUUACGAGUCCAAACUUGACUAGCCAAGUUUUGGACACCAGCGGAAAGCUUUUCUCUUUCAAACCCAAAAAAAAUUUAGUGGGAACACUAAGGGUGGGAACUAGUGUUCCCACCCCAGGGUGGAACAAGCUGGGAUAACCCAGCUUGUUCCACCCGUGAAGAGAGAGAGUUUAGUGGGAACACUAAGGGUGGGAAUUAGUGUUCCCAUCCUAGAGUGGAAAAAGCUGGGAUGACCUAGCUUGUUUCACCCUUGAAGAGAGAGAGAGAGAGAGAAAGAGAGAAUUUUUAAUUUUUUUUAAAAUUUAAAUUUCGUAAGUUAAAAAAUUAAAAUUUAUAAUUUUUAAAAUUACAAAAUUAAAAAUUAAAUUUUAAAUUGUUUAAUUUUAAAUUUUAAAAUUUGAUAUUUUAAAUUUUUUAUAUUUAGAAUUUGAUAUUUUAUAUUUUUAAAUUAAAAUUUCAUCUUAAAUUUAAAGUUUAAAAUUUAAAAUUUUAAUUUUUAAAAUUGUAAAUUCGAGAUUUUAAAAUUUUAAAAUUUAAAAGUUUAUAUUUAAAAUUUUAAAAUUUAAAAGUUUAUAUUUUAAAGGGAAAACUUCAAAACCCCCCCUGUGGUUUCGUGCAUUCUCACUUUGCUACCCUGUGGUUUAAAACGUAUCAAUUUGCCCCCCUGUGGUUUCGUUUUUAUCUUUUUGUUAUCAAUUUUAUUAUUAUUUUUUUUUAAAAUCAGUGACAAAGUUAAAAUUAAAGGAUACUAAAGUGACUAUUCGAUAAAUAUAGAUGGUUAUCUGAAGUUUUUUGUAUAUAAUUUAACGAAAUAUUAACGAAAAGCUUCCGAAAAGAUAAAAUGAAACCACAGGGGGUAAAUUGAUACGUUUUAAACCACAGGUAGCAAAGUGAGAAUGCACGAAACACAGGGGGGUUUUUGAAGUUUUUCCUAUUUUAAAUUUAAAAUAUAAAUAUAAAAAUAUAAAAUUUAAUUUUUAAUAUAAAGAAAAGGAUAAUAUUAUUUUUUUUUAUUUAAAUAUCGACACUUAAAUUUUUAUUCCAUCUUAUCUAUUCAAACGCUAUUUUUUUUAUUCUAAAAAAUAACCUAAUUUUUAUCCAAAUGCAAAAUUAAUUUAAUUUCUGUUUAUAUCUCAAUUUAUAUAUAUUUUUGGAAGAGUCAUUUUUUUGUUUAUCUUCCAACCAAACGAUGCUUUAAUUACAACGUUGCCGUAAUCAAUGCCUCAUUGGUGACAUGCACUUCAUACAUUGACCACGUACGCACAAAAUUACGUAUCCUUUGACGCGUUCAAAUUCUCCACUUCCUUAUAGAGAGGGAGAACCUCUGUAUAGAAAGAGAGAGGAGCCGUAUCAAACUCAUCAAACUUCAUUUGAAAAGGAGUCAACGCCCCCCUCUCUCUCUCUCUCUCUCUCUCUCUCUCUCUCUCUCUCUCUCUCUCUCAUUUCCACUAUUUAAGGAGAGACCACCUUAUAUCGCAACAUAAAGUAAGCUGGAUUACGCAGUUCAAUCCCUUGAGGCUGUGGAGAGAUCUAUAUAUAUAUAUAUAUAUAUAUAUCAUGGAGAAGAAGAUUACUGAAGCCGGAGAGACGACAUUGAAGAGGCCGACGCCGUCGCGGCCGGUCCACGGCCAAGUGAGGAAGAUCAGGCAGGAAGAAGACGAGAGGGCAAAGGAAGAGCUGCUGUCGCUGCCGCCUCCGCCGCCCGCCAGAAGGCCCGUCUCGCAGUCUCCUCUCGGCCGGGCGGGCCGCGUGAUCUCCGUCGGCGAUUGACGGACAAUUGAUCGAGCUGAACUGCUCAUGCUUUUCAGCUGUUUGGUUACAAGAUGGAAUGUUCUGCAGAGAGGCUUCUUGAUUCUUAUCUUUUAGUUUUACCAAUCUUCUUGUAAAUAUAAAUAAUAUAGGUGUAGGCAAUUUGAUCUUAUACAACUUUACCUUUCUUUUCUAUUCCGUGUGAUACUGUAGGAAGAACAUAAGAUCAUAUUGUAUUUUUUGACAGGUGACAUUAAUUAGAUCAUAUUGAAGAGUUUGUUUUGAGAGCGCUCUGUUUUUACGCUUUGCCUUUUCAAGUCACCAGAAUCUCACUUAAAGUGGGAAUCCAAUCGGAGGUGCAUACUGUUAAAGAAUGCGAAAUAACAGUGUUUUUAAUUUCUAUACGAAAACACUCUCCUUAAUAUUUGAGGUCGAGAUUUUUUUUUUAUUUUUGAAAGAGAGAUAGAAAUGUGUAUUAAUUAGGAUUCGAACUUGAAAUUUCGGAUACCAACUACUAAAUCCUUUGUCACUUGCUCUAGAAAUAGUGAGGUCAAGAUAUUUUUAUACAUAUAAAAUAUAGACUUCAAUUAAAUAAGAAAAAAUUAAUAAUACUAGAAACUGAAUGAAUGAAGCGGGUAGCGUGCUAUUUUUUUCUCAAAAAAAAAAAGAAGAAAAAUAAUACUAGAAACUUGGUAUAGUUAGCACUGAGAAUCUCGAGUUUAGAUACCGUGUUAAAAAAAAAUUAAUACUAUUUUCUAACGACUUAAAUUUUUUUAAAUCACAAAAUUAAAAGUCUAUAAAAUUUAUGAGUCGUGCAAGCUAAGACGAUUCGGAGCUUUCUCUGCAUCUUACGAGGGGAGCGGACUUCACUUUUGCAUUAAUUGCUCUCGAGACUCUCAUAUAUCUACUCCCACAGAAAUCCUUUUUGACUUGUCUUGGUUACUACGCUCUGUUUUGUUGGCUCCAAUCUAUUUUUUUUUUCCUUUUUUUUUUUAUUUUUAAAGAACGAUAUCUAUUUCAUUCAUUAAAAAAAAUAAAUUAAGCUAUAAUAGUGAGAUAGAGGGACCUCCGAACGAUAUCAAAAUAAUUUUAAAAAUUAAAAAAUUAAAAAAUUAAAAAAAAAAAGAAAAAAAUUUAAAUUCCAUUAAAUUCUAGGCCAGAAUACGCUCGUUUAAACACGCUGUUCUCCUCCCACUGAAGCUUCAAACGUCUGAUCGAGUUGACAGCUAGCAAGGGUUCAGCAUUAGCCAUCCUAAAAAUAACGGCAUUCCUUACCUUCCAGAUAACUCACCAACUGGCUGUGAGUCCAGUCAUUAUGUUUCCAACCGAUUGAGCACUAUCCCUUGCCAUCCGUUUAUUCCAUACGUAUAUUACAUCAUCACCCAGGUCCCCAACCUGAAUCCCUUCCACAGCCAUGCCAAUCAAGAAUCUGCUGAAUCUUCCCUCAGCAUCAAUAUCUAUAGAUAUAGAUAUAUUAAUUUUUCAGUUUUACUGUGGCCGACGUGUCACCUCCUCAGCGCCCCCCUCCUCUCGCGCCCCUUCGAAGCGUCCCCGCGUUUGGCGGGGGCUUCGAUGGCCCCCACAGUGGGGGGGGCGGCAGCGGCGGUCACGUGUGCGGGACCCCGCAGCGGGCGAGCUGCAGCGGCUAGCGUCGGGCGCGGGGCGGGCGACACGUGGCUUCGGCGGACCCCACAACGGGGCUGGCGGCAGUUUGCGCGGGCGUCGGGCGCAGGUCGCGCGCCCUCUCUCUCUCCUAUCGGGUGUUUGUCAGGUCUCCCUCUCCCCUCCCCUGGCUUUCUCUCUCUCUCUCUCUCUCUCCUCUCCCUUUCCCUUCGGCUCUCUCUCUCUCUCUCGAUUCCUCUCUCUCUUUACCCCAGAUUCCUGCCCUCUCUUUCCCCAACCCCUCGGGCCCCACCCCCCGGGCUCCCUCUCUCUCUCUCUCUCCCCUCGCGCGUGCGCGCCCGGCGCGGGGUCGCCGGACAUGGCAAGUCUUCCCCCCCGCCGCCCCCGUCUGUUUCCCUUCUCUCUUCUCCCCCUCUCAUUCCUCUUCCUACCCCCUCUCCUGCUCCUCUCUCUCGCCCACCCUUUUUCUCUCGCUCCCACAUUCCCUUGGCUUUCUUCUCUCUCUCUCCCUCUCUCUCCCCUUCUUUUUUUUUCUCCCCCCUCAGGCUCUCUCUCUCUCUUACCCACUCUCUCCCUCUCCCUACCCCACCCUGGCUCCCUCUCUCUCUCUUGCGCGUGAGCGCGGGGCCUGCCCGGGCGCGCGCGCGUGGGCCAGGAGAGCGGGCCGAGUCAGAAGGCACGGGCACGGCGCGGAGCGUAAGCGAAAGCGGCGUCGCGGAGAGCUAGCGCGCGGCACGGGCACACCGUGGAGCCGAAAACGCGGCUCAUAGCCGUGGUUCUCACGGGGUCGCGAGGCCGCUUCGCCCUCGUGAACCACAUGAGAGGGAGCGUCCAACGGUGGAGCCUCCGCUCUCCAUUAUAUAUAUUAUAUAUAUAUAUAUCUAUAUAUAUAUAUAUAGUCCGGCUACUAUGUUAUUGAUAGCACGAAGCACUCGGUGCUACCAAGUUUUUCGCCGUUAGAUCUACUCUUUUGAUCAUUUUCACCCGUUAGAUCAUAUUAUUCAACCAACCACCCACUCAACCCUAGGGGGCUCACAUCAUCCUAACCGCACAUCUCUUAAUCCAAUGGCUAAAAACUUGGUAGCACCAAUGACUUGGUGUCACGCCCCCGGGGUCCCUUUUAGUUCAAAGCAUAGCGGAAAAGCAUCUAAAUUUUUUUUUUUUUUUUAAAAGCCUGACCCCAGAGUGUGCCAGAUCCGCCACAAACACAGGAAAUUCACUGUUCACACGGACAGAGUCUCCCCUGUAUUUGCACGGCGUCACACAAGUACAACAGAGUAUGAAUACAAUCACAACCACAACCAGAUGAACGACAAGAUAGAUAACAUUCAUCCAUUCCAUUCGCACACACAGAUAUGAUACUUGAGUUAUGAAUAACAUUCCACAUCUAUCAGUUAAAAUGUUUCCUAUCUGGAAACUGAUUUUGAAAUACUAAAUCCAUAAAACCACAGAAAAUCAAUUUGAAAACUGUUCCCCACACGGGAACCAUUCUUUUUCAAAACCAGCUACCACGAGGGGUAGAAAACUGUUUUAUCUCAAGAAAACCAGAAAUCCAUUUAAUACAAUUUGAAGUCCACUACCUCAGGUUAUUCCAAAGUCGGAGCAAAACUGAACCAUAAAUGAACUAAAGUAAAUACGAAGAGUGGCGGGUGCUAACGCAGCUAGACACGAUCCUCACCAGCUGUCCCGCUCGGACCAGCUAUUUCACCUGAAAAAGGGGCGGGGAGUGAGAACAUGUAAACAUGUCUCCCCUCCCAGUGGGUACCGCAAGCCGGAGAGGCCGAGAGGUACUCACUAGUCACGGAGAACUAGAUAGAUAUAAGUGUUGGUAAGUAAAGAUGCUGAUAAGUAGGGAGCUGACAAGUAUAGAUGCAGGUAAAUAAAAUAGUAGCUACAAUAAACAGAUAAGGAUGUACUGGAAAUAAACACUACAGCUACUGUAUGCAUGCGUCAACUGACGAUAACCUCAAAAGUACCCAAUCUCGUUGCCCUAUUAGUCUGAAGACCUCAGGCCCAUGCCACACUGCUCACCCUGUACCUGACCCUCGCAAUGAAGCCCCUGGGUCAGAAGCAUAGUACCUGACCCUCGCAAUGAAGCCCCUGGGUCAGAAGCACAGUACCUGACCCUCGCAAUGAAGCCCCUGGGUCAGAAGCAUAUACCCUCGCAAUAAAGCCCUUGGGCUCACGGGUUGGCAAUCCAACCACUUUUUCGGAAAAGAACACCCUCUUGCGGUGGAUCAGACCGCUGGUGUUCGUGAAAUGCGUAUCUGGAGUGGCGAUCAAUGUAGUAUGCUCAAAGAUCAUCCAUCCGCAACUAGCCGACAAUCCAAGCCCCUCAGGGCACAUCGACCGUAUAGGUCAUCAGCAACUAGUCGGCUACGUAUGUCAAGAUAGAACUGUAGCAACUCGACCGAAUAGGUCAUAGAUAUCAAAAUAGGGGAACCGCCCAACCAAAUCACAGAUAUAGUGAACAGAUAAGUCAACUCUACUUCUAAGCAUGAUAUCGACAUGGAAAUAACUGAGUAGAGGAAUGCAGAUAUAAAUGCAGGUGCAAGGUUCAAUAUAACUGUAAGGUAGAGUAAACAGUAGGGGUGAAGAAGCGUCACCGAGCGUGCACCACUGUACCGACUACGGGUCGAAGUACCCACCUGUACGUGUCUGACGAAGGUCUCUCGACUGUGAAGACGGUGCAACCGAACCUACGAAAGGUCCAACGGGUUAGGAUCUAACCCACUGACAUGCAACGCUAUCUCACAACCCCCAAUCAUAGCCCCACGGAAUCGGUUUCCCAAAACCGAUUACGAACAUGCCGGAAGUUCCGAAAAUCGCACCGGAACUCCCCCGUCGCUCACCCGUCGUUUCCCGAACCCUCGAAACGACAUGGGUGACCAGCCAACAAGACUCAGCGACGCUACAUUCAACCACAAGGCGCCGUCGGAUGAACUCCGAAUCGAAAACAUGUUCUAUCGGUGGAUUUCGUCGAAAAAUGCUCCGAAAACUACUUUUCGGUUUCCGCAAGGGUUUGGGGCCUCGGACGAUCAGUCCAGAGGUUAUCCUCAGCCCAAACAUGCUGCCAACAGCAGCCACAACGAAGCAACAAUCAUAAAAGCCCAUAUCGAUACAUGAAAUCGCAACAUUUUAUGUGUUUUCAAGGCUUUUCUGGAUCGUGCACGCAAACCAAAGAUCAAUUAAGCGAAUCAUCGCGCUCGCUGAUAGAUUUCAGCAUGACGGAGGCUGUGCUCACCUUUCGGAGCACUGCAGGCCGCUGGGGUGCGCGUACGAGCGAUGCGAAGUUCUGUUAAUCUGCGCGUACAGCCGGAGAUCGCGACUAACUCACUAACCAGGGCAUCUUUGCUGCUAUCGGAGGUGAGCACGAUGUUCAGCACGAGUUGUAGAUCAUCGUGCUCACUUCCCGGGGUUUAGGUGGCUCAUUGGAUCACCGGAAAGGUGACCGGAACCUCGGAAAACAGUGCUGGAACAUAAAAUGUCCUUACCAGACCCGAGGAGAGCUAGGGUUGGUCGCCGGCGGCCGGGAGGCGGGCGGUCCGGCCGGAGGAGGGAGCAGUCAGUCCAGGAGGUCCGGGGAAAGACGGUGCACCCCUUGGUGGGCGGCGGCGACGCUUGGAAGCUGAACGGACUCGGCCUCAGCCCGCACGGUUCCAGGCGGCCACAGGAUGUUGCAGUAGCGGCCGGCGGCGCGCGGGGACGGCGGGGGACGUGCGCGCCGGGCUGCUGGAGGUCGCCGGGGCCGACAGGAGGGCGGCGCGGCCAAGGUGAGGCGUGGACGCCGAGUUCAAACCGGCUCGGUCAGGGCUGACCCGAGCUGGUCGCAGGGAGCAGGGGUGGCUCCGGCGGCGCUCGGGGGUGGCCGGGGCCGGCGGGGGAAGACGCCGGAGAUGGGCUUCGGCCAGAGGAUGAUGCUCCAAGGGGUGAAAGAGGCUUCCUUCGCAACUUCGGCCAAGUUGGAGGAGAGGGUGGCCGAGAGAGCAAGAGAGGAGGUCGGGGUGGCCUUUCCGGCGGCCGGAGUAGGUCGCCGGCGGCUGGGGCGUGCGCACAGGUUGGGCAGGGUGGUGCUGAGGCGGCUAGGGUUAGUUAGGUGAACGUGGGCAGUCAAAAAGUCAUGGGAAACCCUAGAUGCCCAUUUUAUACAAGGUGACACUUUGCGAGGAACCCCUCCAAAGUCUAAUAUUUACAUUCCAGCCCCUGCCAACGUGUGGAUUAGGCGUAUAGGUCCCUCUACAUUCGAAUUCGUGCAAGACCGCGCAUAAAAUAUUGGACCUUAUCGCGAAUAAUCAAUUUUGCACAUUGACCUCUCAACGGACUUUUCACGAUUCCCGAAGAUCCGUCCAUCGGAUUUCUGAACGAUUGAGCCAGCGCGUUCAGCAUGACUGGGGCAUCGAAUCUAGCAUUUAUUUCAUCGAAUUUGGUCUUCGAUCAGCGACGAAACAUCCAUUUCGUUUUUCACCAUAUAACCACUUAUGUUAAUACAUAUAAUUUCCAUUAAACCCCUUUUUCUCGACAACCUGCAUCAGAAACCCAAUUCCGUCAGUGUCAUGGGUCCAGAAUGGUCGAGCCAUUCGAAAUGAGCUAUUGGAUCGCUAUGAACGGAGUCCAAUACGCACCGAAAGCCAACUCUACUCCGUGGCUUCACCGAAAAAAACGGCAUUACUAUUCACUUUAAGUGAAAACUAAUAAUGCGUAACUUCUCCUUUCUAGCUCAUUUUCUCCUGAAACUUGACGAGUGCUUAUGUAAUUAAAAUACACACAUAAACAUCGUCAACAGAGGUUUAGUUGCACUGUCAAAAUCUCAGUCCUUACACUUGGUGCUAUUAAUAGUAUAUUAGCCUUAGUUAUAUAUUAUAUAUAUAUAUAUAUAUAAAUAUUAUAUAUAUAUAUAUAUAUAUAUAUAUAUAUAUAUAUAAUAUAUAUAUAUAUAUAUAUAAAAUUUAUUUAUAACAUAUAUUUAUUAUUAUAUAUUAAUAUAUAAUAUUAUAUAUAUUAUAUAUAAUUUUAUUCAAUUCUAUAUAUAUAUAUAUUUAUUUAUUAUAUAUAGUACUUUGUUUUUAUAUAGAUAUAUUAUUAUAUAAUAGUUUAUUACAUAAUUCACUAUUUAUUUUUAUAAAAUAUAAACUAUAUAAAUAAAUAUUAAAUAAUUUAGACUAUUGGUAUUAGAUAUAGAUGUAAUUUUAUAUGUGAAGGUAAUAUAAGAUUUACACUUAUAUGUAGAUGUACAGAUAGUAUUUUUUGUAUACAGAAAUUUGUACCAUUAUAUAUGCAAUUAUAAUUCUUCUUUUCUAUUUAAUUUAGGGGAGAAGAUGAAUCAGUACAUGUACAUCAACAUUAUUCUUUGAAUGAGCUAAAUGACUGAUUCUUUUGUCUGUAGGAAUAUAUUGCGAACUUUUGUACUAUAUUAGUCAUUUACUGCCUGAGCCAUCUUUUGCUUCUAACUUAUGAUAACCAAUUAAUCUACUUAACUCUUAGGUGUAGGCUUAUAUCCACAAACAAAUAUGCAAGUUUGUCUUUGUUUGUUUAAUUAUUUGUGCUCAUUUUACGCUGGAAAUUGCAAACCCUGUUGGUAGCUUAGUGCAAAAUAUAUAUAUACUUUGAUUUAGCUAUAUUUUAAUUGAUUUAUAUACAGGCCGUAUUGAUGAUUCUCCUGUCAUGCUUGCCAAACGUCAAACUUUUAUGAAUGCAAGUGCUGAGUCUGUAAGUAGAUAUCUCUAACUCAUCCAAAUUAUGUACAACUAUCUGAAGCAAUUCUUUUUAUUAUCCUAUUCCAAUUUUAUGAUGCAAAUUGGGGCUUCUUUAUGUAGGUUGGUUCGCUGGUUUCAUAUUACAAGAUAUGACUGAAUCAAGUACUUCUGGUAUAUAUAUCAUAUUGUUGUUAUGCAACUAUUGAUGUUUAGUUUUUACUAUUAGUUUUUGAUGGAUUUUUAGUUUUGUUACUUUGUAGAUGUAUGGUGAUUUGGAUUUACCUUUUGCAAAAUUGCGUCUACUAUAAAAUGUCGAAACUUAAAAUUUUAAUUUUUACAUUUAAAAGUGAAAUUUCGACAUUUAAAAUUUAGUAUUUGAUUUUUUUAAAUUCAAUUUGUAAUUUAAUAUUUAAAAUAUUGAAUGUUUAAAUUUAAAAUUGAAACUUAAAAUUAAAAAUUGUAUAUUUUCCCUUAAUUACUAAAACUAAAUGUUAAAAUUUUUCUGUUUUAAAUUUUAAAUUUUAGUUUCUAAAUUAUAGAUUUUAAAUUUUAUACAAAAAUUAUAAAGCUUAAAAUUUUGAAAAUUAUAUAUAUUAAUUUGUUGAAAUAUACCAUGGAAUUUCAGAUUAUCUAGCUGAAUUCCUAAAAAUUCAAAAUUACAGCGACAUAUAAAAGUUUAGAAUUUAAAAAAUUAGAAAUCAACAAGACUCUAUAUAAAAUCAUAUAUUCAAAAUAUACAAACUGAAUUAAGAUAAAAUAUAUUUUUGGAAAUUUUAAUUUUUAAAUUGUUAAUUUCAAAUUUUAGAAUUUAAACAAAAGGGAAUUAGAAAUUUUAAAUUUUAAAUAAAUUACGUAAAUUUUUCGCCGCAAAGCGCGGGCCUAUACUAGUAAUCCUAUGAAUCGGCAACCCUAACGGAGCCCUCCCCGCAAUUCGCGCUCUCCGCCCUCGCGUAUGGCGCGGCGGUCCCCCUCCCGCCCACCUCACACCACCCCCCCCACCGGCGAUCCCCCCUCCCCCCCCCCCCCUCGGUGCUGCCCCUCCCCCCCGUCUUCGGCCGGGAUGGUCCGCUCUGACUUUCCUCCCUCGGGAACGCAGCUGUCUUUCCCCUACGGGGGCAACCCUAACGGAGCCCUCCUCUCGUUUCACGCUCUCCUCCGUUUUGUACGGCGCUCUUCCUCUUUGUCUUCGCCAGGAUGGUCCGCUCUGACUUUUUCGUCCUCUCCGCCUUCGCUGUUGUGGUCGCCAUCCUCCCUCGGGAAUGCAGCUGUCUCCCCGUACAGCGCGGCGUUCCCCCCCACUCUCCUUUCGUCCUCUCUGCGCAGCCGCGACGCCGUGCGGCAUGGCGCCUUCCCUAUUCUGUUGCCCGUCUGCCUAUCCCGUCCGAUUUCCGUACAAGCGGGGGUUGCCGUUGUGCUGUCGGCGAUAUGGGCCGCGUCUUUUCCUCAGCCGCACGUGUUCAGCUGUCCAGUCCGGCGUGGCUCCUCCCUGUGAUAUGUGGUCAACAGGCAUUAAUCAAGGUAUAUAUCAUGACCUUCUUUUUUUUCCUAUCCUGUUGUCCUCCGCGAUCGCAGCCCACCUCCCGUAGGGCAUGGAGCUCGCGUGCUCUCUCUCUCUCUCUCUCUCUUCCCCUCCUGUGUAUGAUUUCCUGUGGGGCUUCCAUGCGGCUGCUCAUCUUUAUCCCUCUGUGCUCUCUCUCCCUGAUUUCUCCUCUCUUACUGUGCUCUGCUUGCUUUUCCUCUCUCUGGUUAUUAUAAAUACUAAAGAGGCUGGUAUUUUUUUUCUCUGCGCAUUUCUAGUUCGCCCUGAUUUUGAACCCCCUGUUUUUGGAACGUUGUUGCUCUGUCGUUCUUGCCCUGUGGUGCUUUUGAGCGUUGCAACUGAUCGAUGGGUAAAAACAAGCAUUCGGAUGCUUCAUGAUUUCCCUCCCCCCCUCCCUUUUUUUUCCCUCUUAUACUUACUCUUAUACUUUUUUCCCUGCAUGUUGGUGUGUUUGAUUCUGUGCAGCAAGUCUGCACAUCUGUGGCUCCUAAGGUAUUCUGUCAAAUUUUUCUCCUAUUUAUUUGGAACACUGAAGUUUACUUACACUGAAGUUUUAUUCUCGAAAUUAUAGAAGGCUGGGAAUUGGUAGAGAAGGCUGGAAUUGACGUAAUAUAAUGAUUGUGCUUGUCUCUACACUUAAAUGAGCUAAAUUAGAGAAGGCUGAAAAUUUGGAGAGAUUUUUUGCAAAAAUUUGGCUGCUACUGUUUCCUCCAGUUUGCACGAUUGCGCCUCACUGCUGGAACCUCCUCACUCCCUCUCUAUCUUCCCCAAUCAGCCACCCUCUCUCUUUGCUUCACUGUGAUCAAAGGAGCCCUUAUGUUAUGAAUAGUGGGAUGUUGUGUUAUUUGUAUUUGGUAGGUCACUCUAAUUAAGAGCAUCCGGCACCCCUUAAUCCUAAAGGUCUACUUUCUCCAACUUAUUUUUGUGGUGGUUCCAACAGAUUGUGUUGUGAAUUUCUACUGAUAUUCUCUUUUCCUGUGUUUGCCAGGUUGCCGCAGCGAACCUCUCGGGAAUUUUGGUCCGCUCAUCUCCUUCUUUCCAUUGUGCUCCUUUGCUUCCUACUCUAUUUAGUACGAUUCCUCUACUUACCACUGCUGGUUCUGACACAUUAAUGUGUGGUGCUACUUUAUUUACUGUGAUUUCCUCUCUUAUGUUUUGCUGUUAGUACAUUUGAGUUGCUAUUUUCAAAGUGAGAUUUUGGGUGUUGAGUGUUCGAUCCUAACUCCCAAUUCAUGUUUUUUUUAUAGAAUGUGUUUCUUCUUUCCCCUCCCAUUUAAUUUUAUGUUUUGUUCUUACUGAUCUCCUUUGACAGAGAGUUAAGCUUAAUUACUUGCCUAUACAUCUCCUAUUUAUUGCUUAUUUUUUACCUAUUUGUUAUUUGCUUCUCCCCCUCUUUGUAUGAUGCUUUUGUUCAGGUGAUUUUCCUUGAUGAGGUCUCAGUGCAGUGAAUGCCUACUUGCUUGCUUCUCUGCCUUCUGUUUGAUGCUUCCUUCGUUGAUAGAGGUGAUGAUGAUUUCCGCAAAAAAAAAAGAAGAAGAAGAAGAAAGGAACAAAUAAAAAAAAAUUGUUGACCCCGUUCUUCUACUAAAUUAGUUACUGAAUUACUUACACCAUUACUCCUCCAGUGCCCUCUAAUUUUUUUAGUUGUUCGUUGCUGAGCAUAAUUUGCAGCUUAGCUAUUUUUCAUGUUGGAGAAAAUGCAUAUAUUACUAUGUGGUUAUCAAUUUUGCCCCCUCACUAUAUUUCUUGCUUAUUUUCUCGCUACUCUCCUACAUUGCUUCAGAUUUUCUACUUACUUUUAUUCUGCUACUAUUUUUUUUACUAAUUAUUUAGUAAUUUUACAAAUUUUUUGUGUAGAUAAUUUUUUGUUCCCCCGAGGGAUAUUAUACAAAUUUUUUACAUGACUGGUUUACUAUGAGGUUAUCAACUUUUCCCCUUUAGAUUUUAUAUAUAUUUUUAUUAUGUUUAUGAUACUAUAUUUUUCCUUUUUUGACUAAUUAUUUAGCUUUUUUACAAAAUUUUCGCCUAGGUGAUUUUUCGUUUCCACGAGGGAUAUUACACAAUUAUUGUGCAUGGCUAGUUAGUUUUGCACAAACUUGGUUCUUUGGAUCCCUAUUCUUCUUUUAUGCUCUACAUGGUAUAAAUUGAUUCAUAGAGGCAAUGGUGGUUUUAACAAAAUGAAAAGAAUUGUUGAUUACUGUUUACUGCUAAUUUAAAUCGGACUUUUAAAAUUUUCAUUGUUUGUUCCUACUUUAUACUGAAUUAAUUUCAAUAUUACAUUGUAGGGUUAUCCUUCUGCUGUGUCUCUCUCCUUAACUACCCAAUUUUUUUUGGUUGCCUCUAUUUCUAUGCUAUUUGUUCCUCCGGUGCCAUCUAAUUUUUUAGAUGCUUUGUUGCUGAGUGUAGUUUGCAACUAAAAUAUUUUUCAUGACAGAGAAAAUGCAUACAUUACUAUGCAGUGGUCAAUCUGAGCCUCUUCCAAAGUCGCCUAAAAAGAUGCUAUGGGUUUUACUUCUUAUUUCUUUUCCGCAAUACUUCCCGUGCUUACUUUCUCGCUACUCUCUUACAUAACUUCUGCCUUCCUAUUAACUUUUAUUUUGCUACUGUAUUUUUCUGCUUCUUUCCCUAAUUGUUCAGUUUUUAUACAGAUUUUCUUCCUCAUUAAUUUUCUAUCUUUGCCGAGGAGUAUUAUGCAAAUUUUUUGCCUAAUUGUUUGGUUUUUCUCAAACUUGGUUCUUUGCAUCCAUGUUCUUCUUUCAUGUUUGCAUUAUAUGAAUUGAUUGAUAAAGACAAUGAUGGUUUCAGCAAAAUAGAAAGCUACACGUUGGGAACAAAAAAGGAAUUGUUGAUUACCCUCUUCUGCUGGAUUACUUCAGAUCUUUUGAAUUUCCAUUGUUGGUUCCUAUUUUCUACUGAAUUACUUUCGAUAUUACACUAUGGGGUUAUCUUUUUGUUGGCUUUCUCUCCCUUUAACUACCUGAUUCCUUUUGGUUGCCUCAAUUUUUGUGCUAUUUAUUCCUUCAGUGUCCUCUAAUUUUUCAAAUGCAUUGUUGUUGAGAUUAGCUUGCAACUUAACUGCUUUUUCAUAGUUGAGAAAAUGCGUAUAUUACUAUGCAGUGAUCAAACCUUCUGUGGGUAGGCUUGGAUAUAAAAGGUAAACUCUGAUUUAAAAAUGACAACUCUACAGCUGAUAUGAAAAAUUUAGAUGAAGUUCUAUUUGCAGAGAGACAAUGUCUUAGGUAAUAAUAAUUCAAAAUUUUAUUCAUUCAUAUUUAAAAGUACUGCAGUAAAACUUUCUUUUUAUUUUUCUCUUUUUUUUUUUUCGCAGGUAUGCUGAUGAUGCUCAAAUAAGUGAAGACAAAAAAUAAAGAAUCAAACAAGUGAAGUGAAGACAAAUAAUAAAGAAUCAAAUUCCGUAUAUGUAAGAAAUGGAACUUAUUUAGAAUUAUGUUAUGAUCCAGUUUUUAGCUAUAUAAUUUACUUAGACUUUUAACUUCAUGCUUUUUUUAAAUCGUUAGUGUACUAUCCAAUAGUGUAUAUCAAUUGAUUUGGUAUAAAAUUGAGUUCUUCUUUCUUGCUUAAGCUAUCCAUGUAUAUAUUACUCACUCCUUGCCCACGUUAAUAAAUUACUGUUGUAUUAACUUCCCGCCGCAACGCGCGGGUCCCCUUAACUAGUUAGAAACCUAGAAAGAUUGGAGAGAGAGAGAGAGAGAGAGAAUAUUCUUGUAGACAUUUUGGUUUAUGCUUUGUGGUGGGAGUAGAGAUCGGGUUGCAUUUUUCCACCUCCACAUCCUCACUUUCUACCUGGGCUAUCAGCUAGCCCAGGAACAGAAAAGGAAGAUGAUCCUUUCUCCUUCCCUCUUCUCUCUAAGUGACUACCCAUCUCAACUUCGAAACUUUUUAGUUUUAAAAGCCUUAAUUUGAACUUAAACAUGCUGAUCAUAGAACAGAUGGAAAGGACAUAGAUACAUUGUAUUAUAAACUACAAAAUUUUUGCGCUCCUCGACAGCAAAACAAUUCCUUAUUAUUUUGCAUUGUAAGUUUUUAAAGCCCUUCAUUGUCCCACACCAUCUAUUGUAAGACAUCUUUUAAGUAGUACACACCUAUCUGACAAGUGAAAUUGCUCUACACUGAUGAUGCUGCAACUACUGAUUAACUGUUAAAAAUUAGCGCUAAACUUAUCUUUUUUUGUUUCUUUUUGUUUACAACAUCAAUAAGUGUAUUUGUAGGAGCCCAAUAAUCUAUUGUUUAAAUUGACCUUUUUUUUUUGCUCUUUUUGAUUCAGGUUGACUUGUGGCUUAUUUUUGGAUAGUGAGCCAAGUUGGUACGGACGAAACCAGGAUUCAAUCACGAGGGAUGCCAAAAUAUAUACAAAAAAAAUAUUUUGACAGAUAAAUAAGAUUUUAACUACUCAAAUUUUUAAUAAAAAAAUUUAGUGAUUAGAUAUUUAAUGUUAAAAAAAUAUUAAAUUUAUUUCGCUAAUUUACACUCGCUUAACUUCUAAUUAUUUUAUUUACAUUAUUCUAAUCAAAUAACUUAAGAAUUUUACUAAAUCUAAUAGUAAUUUAGUUAAAAUUUAUUUUUUUAAAAUUUUUGUUAAUAAAAUAAUAACAACCAAUGACUAAUAUCUAACAGAACUAUUAAAUUUAGCAUACUAUUUUAUUUAGUUAAAUAAAUUAGCUCAUCAAAAAUAAUUAGAAAGUUAAUUAUUUCAAAGUACUUAAUUAAGAGGUCCUUAGCGUAUUUUCACCUAUAAAACACAUAAGAAAAGAGAGAGCUCUAUACUAGCACUAAAAACUUUUUACAAGAUAGGCCUAUAUAUUUUAAAAAUUAACUAAAAAUUUAUAAGCUACUAAAAAAUUAUAAAGUAAAUAUUGAAAAGUGCAAGUUGGGCCACAUAGGUAUAGUUAGGGGUUAAAAGAAAAUAGGUUAAGUGAGAAAACCAGCUUCUCCUCUUUUUCUCCAUUAUUUCCUUAUUUGAUGUUUCUCGCCGGAGCAAGAAAAGUGUCAAAGAGGGUCAAAGGUGGUUGGAAUUUUGCUAGGUUUGAGAUGGGUGACAUCUAAUCUGCCUCUUUUCCUCUCUUGUGAACAUCCAUUGUGUUGCGUGCCGAAUGUCCCGAUCCUUGACCCGGUCAAGUAUUCUCCUCGGGAAGGGCGUCGGGAUGAUGCGCGGCCGCGGAUUAUGACCCUCGAAGUAUGCGCCCACAGAGGAUCAAGCGAUUAGGCCGAUGAGGGAUCGGACCAGCCGGGUUCAAAAACCUCUGCAGUAAAUUCGCUUCGGCAGGAUGAGCCGAAUGGAGAAGGGAAGCCCAGAUUUCGACUAAAAGAUGAGCCGAAUGGCUAAACAACUUAAGAUCUGAUCGGCAGGAAGAGCCGAAAAUGACUUUUUAUUGAUUAGCAAACGGAAAGAGUACAGGAACAGGGGAGUGAUGCCCGUAGGGCAGACAGACUCCGAGUAUGAGAAUAGGAGAGUGAUGCCCGUAGGACAGACAGACUCCGAGUAUGCUAAAUUACAAGAACUACUCCUAGGGAAAGCAGUAAAUGCGAGAAUAGAAAGAUGCAGGAAAAUAAAGGUGGUCUUUUGUGCGUAGAGGCGAAGACCCUUUCUUAGGGUGCCGUAUGCCCAUUUAUAAAGUUGCCCUUGCGUUCAGUUAUCGUCAAUGUACGAUCGGCCACUAUCUCCUGAUUUGUAGGACCACCUUCGGCCGAUUGGAACUGCUCAUAACCGCUUACGGUUGCUACGCUUUUUGAACAGACGCGGCUCAUAUCUUCUGGCGCGUUUUAUAUACUCCCGGUCCACCAUUUUGACAUGGACCAUGGACGUGGUCCCGGCUUGCCAGCUGUCCGCAUUGAAUUGGCCCAACACAUUGUAAUGCACUUUUGAUUGAAGGUUUAUUUAAUAUUUUUCGCUUUUCCAUUAUAUGUUGUCUUUAGAUACUUUUAGUGAAGUUGAUAAAAUUCAUAUGUAGAGUUAUUUGCGAUUAUUUUUGUGAACUUUUUAUUUCUCCAUUCUUGUAUUCUACUGUGGUUGUGCGAUUUUG